GACAUGGUAGCUACAACAUCUUCUUACCAACCUGCUCCGUCACCUCGGCUAGACUGGGGGCUUCGCCAUCCCUUCUUCAACCUACUCCGGAGACUUCAGCGUCAUCAGCAGACUAGCUUCUUCACGUUAGCUGGACCGGAAGCUUUGCCUCGGCGAGCCAAGCUUUACAAGCAUCGCCAGGCCGUCGCUUCACUGCCCAUCAGGCAAUGAGUGUGCGGAUCGAAUCCCAAUUUUGGGAGUCGCCUUUCUUCUGAUUGCUACAACAGAUAAACUAGGUGCUAUUAAUCCUAGUAAAAAAAUUCUUGCUUGGGUUUAUUUUUUCAAAAAAUUAUUACUCUGGUUUGUUCCAUCAUCUGUACACAGGUUUGUCAAAUGAUGGCCGCAUUAACGACGGUCGCAUGGUGGUUCGGUCGGUUUCCGUACACAGUUCGGCGAACGCCGCAUCCGGAACCCGGACCGCUCUACAAAUUCAGGCUUUGUCACGCCUUCAUUGCGUCAUGCCGACGCCCUGCAUCGACAUUGGCUUCGGCGCCAGGCCACAUCUCUUUAAAUAAAUUAUUUUUGCGUAAAGCAAUUAUGCAAGGAUUAUAUAUAUAUAUAUAUUAUUAUUUCCUGGACCGCACUGUUUUAUGUGUGCAGGUAAUCAAUUUUUGACUGUGUUACGCGGUCACCACUACCCUGGAAUGCCGAACUCCUUGCUUGGACACCUCAGGCCCGGGGGCUGGGACCUCGUCCAUGCCGAGGACUACGAACCUUGUCGGAUCUGGCACAGAUCAAUGGGAGUUUUCGUCCUGCCACAAGCCCGAAUCACGUGAUCAAUGCCGAACGCAUUAACCAGCUAAGUCACUUUCAUGCUCAAAGCUUUAAAUUUUUAACCUGUGUUCGGUUCGACCAAGCAUUAUACUUUUUUGAAAAAAGUUGUUUGUGAAAAAAUUCCUUGUCAUAACUUUGUUGGUGACACAUACUCAAAUACCCUUUUUAUUUGGGGCUUCCUUCAUGGAGCUUUUCCUCUUGCAUAUGAUUAUACUUGUACGGCUUCGUUCCUUGUUCGUGUAUUACGCCACAAUAUGCACCAUGUUGACUUAAGUGAUUUGCAAGCUGGGUUGCCUUGCUCCUGUGUUUACCCCUACGUUCCUGAUUGUUCAGCUAGGGAGUAAAUGGAGCACCUCUGCGAUUGUCACGAUCGGGUCAUCCGAGGCGGACCUCAGACUGGGUGAAGCCGAAAGCUAGCGCUCUUAUUGUUUUGAAUAAUGGUUGGCACACAACGGAACUCAUGAGUACAAAAAAUCUAUUGCACAAGUAUCAUAGUAAUAAUGAGCAACCAAAGAAAGGUAUCGGUGGGGGUACUAUUUUCUUCGAAGAUGCUUCUUACACUUUGUCAAUAAUAUAGCAUAAGUUCCCUGAGCGCGCUUUCUCUGUUAUAGCCUUAUGGCCUGAUUGCCUGGUUAUCGGAAACACCGUCGAUAUUCUCAAUAGGUGGAGUACAUAACACUUUUCGGUCCUUGACCAAAGAGGGAGAAGCCGAUGGUCGGUUAAGACACGUAUAAAGUUCGGGUGAACACAUAUAUGAUAUAAGUACUUCGGUACAUACAAUCAUUAUACAUAAAAUUCUUUUACCCAAGUCACUUGGGGGCUCUUAAAAUUUAUAUAUGAGCUGUAAAUGUGUUUUAUUCUUGGUUGUUGCAAAGUCUUUCUCUACUGCUCCUUUUUUGACUCGAAGUCUUGAGAUCGGAUGUGUCAUGUUAAAGCAUGACAGAAGCACAAUUUUUUCCAAUUCUAGGAUUGGCACCGAACACUUGAUCUUGUUCGGACGUCAUGUUUUUACAGACUUUUUUUGGUUUUCCAAGCUUUUGGCACUUUUAAACUAUUUGUGUGUUUCCAGCAUAGGUCUCGCAGUGCAACGCCGGACAUCUUUAAAGAUUCGGCAAAAACAUUCUCGGAUGUUGCUAUACAUGCAUCGGUUUUGAAUUGUGUCUUCGGUCAAUAGUUGGGUUGCCCGGCUCCUGUGCUUGACUCCUAUGUUCCGCUUUGUUCGACUAGGUGUGCAACAGGAGAACCACUGCGAUUGUGCUUCCAGCUCGCAUGGUUAAGCACCUCAGUGGAGAAAGCCGAAAACUGACUGUCACAAUAAGCGCAAACUGUUCAGUGAUCCGAUGACCGUGUUAAAUGAUAGGCCGUUCAUAACAUUGGUCAGAGUGUUUACGGCUUGACCUCAGCUGUCGCCGAACACUAACCGGGGGCUCAUAGCUAUCUUCCCCAGUUUAAAGCUCCUAUGACUAAGUGAAAGUUAUAAAGCCAAGAUAUUUGACUGCCUCCUUUCCGCUAACACAACUGCCUCCGGGCACCGAGACGUCGGCUAAGGGUUGUCUGGUUAUUGGAGAAACACCAUGCAUAGUAUCUACAAAGGGGUAGAAGCCGACGAUGGGCCACUUCCAAUAGAUAAACAGUCGCAAUGGAGUCCAAAUAAGUAUAUAUCAUCAGCAUCUAUAUUAAUUAUACAAGUGUUGCCUUCUGUAAUUAUCGUUAUAUAAAGCCAUAAAUAUGCAUCAAUUUGACUUAAGAUUUUGGCCAAGAUGGGUUGCAUGGCUCCUGUGCUUACCCCUACGUUCCCGAUUGUUCGGCUAGGCGGUAAAGGGAGCACCUCUGUGAUUGUUACUACCGGGUCAUCCGAGUUAGUACCUCAGACUGGGUGAAGCCGAAAGCUAGCAAUCUUAAAGUAUCACCUUGGUCGGCAACAACGGAAGUGAAAUUUUUGGUUCAUUCAUACCAUAGAGUUUGGGAACUUUCCCCAAACUAAAUCCUCAAUAUUUUUCUCCUGCAUUGAUCGGAGGUGAGGUUUCAUGAUCAUGGUUGGCAUGACAACCCAAAGAAAGGAACCGAUAGUGGGACUAUUUUCUUUGGAAGAUGUUUCUUACAUUAAAAAGUAAUAUAACAUAUCUCUCCGCGUACCUUUGUUUAUAAAACCAUAUGGCCGGAUUGCCUUGUUUGUCAUAAAUCUUUGCCCUCAUAAAAGGCUUUAUAAAGUGGGACAAAUACUCCCUGGCUACUGGUCGAGGAGGUUGAAGCCGAUGGUCGGUCAAUAAAGUUUUGUACAAUGCGGAUCCGAGCAUUAAUGAUGUAAAGUACUUGGAUACAUAGAAUCAUUACACAUACUUUGUGAUUUUACUCUGGAUAUCGAUCCUUAAUUCGGCCACCCGUGCCCACUUUAAGGCUCGGGGGCUACUGGGCUUCGUGCUUAUCAUUUACAAAUAUUAAAGGGGUACAUCGAUCCCUGAUCUGGUGUUGCCACCCGACCAGUGUCUCGGGGGCUACUGCAUUGCCUAUUCAAUGCAGAAAAUUCAAAGUGCUCAAUGUUCGGCUUGACAGAACUAUGCGCAAACACGUCUUCGGACAAUAAUAGGUACCAUACUGGUUAUACAUCUCGUCAGAGAUUACAUUGCACAAUUCGGAAUUAAAUUCAUAAAAAUCAUCCCAUGGCCAGGGUGGUGCACCACCUCGGAAGCAGUCCAGCAUAAAGCUCGGGCGCCAGUGGCUGGAUCCAUAGAGGGCAUUUCCGGUAUUAAGCUUAGCUAAACUCUUCCAACUUUUUUGAACCAAGGUGAUCUAUGACACCUGGAUAUAAUCCGGCGUUGGAGCUCGGAUACAGUCCGGCGUUGGAGCUUGAACACAGUCCGGCGCCAGGGCUCAGAUACAUUCCGGCGUUGAAGCUCGGAAGCAACCCGGCGUUGGUGCUCGGCUGCAGAAGACACCUCGAAUGCAGUUUGGCAUUGGAGCUCGAAUGCAAGAGGACACUACCGCCUGAGAACAACUUCAAACCCGAGGGGUGGCAUAAAAAUAACAAGGAAUUGAUAAAGGCCGAGAACUUAAAGGGGCUCCUCGGAUACCCGACAUGUAAGCUGUUUGGAUUUACUUUGGCGAUCCUCAAGAUCGAAGAUGAGCAGAUUUGUUGAACCAGUUUUCAAGAACGACGACCGAAGAUGAAGAACAGUUCGGAAGAAUCGAGGAGCGUCCCCAACUUGAAGACCAGUUUAGGGGGCUACUGACGGUGUCCUGGACUAGGGGGUACUCACCACGUCGUCUCCCGAUCAGUAGAUUGGGCCGAGGACCCCCGUGGCCGUAUACUCAUGGGCCAGUUCGGACAGCUGCCGCAUACAAGGAAGAUUCCACAAGACUUGGUGAUCAAGACAAGGACUCCUCCACACCGGCGUAUUCGGCUAGGACUCUUGUUAUCCUAGGCCUCUGGUGCAUUAUAUAAACCGAGGCCAGGCUAGUCGAUAGACCAUAACAACAAUCAUAAUCAUAGUCUAGCUUCUAGGGUUUAACCUCUACGAUCUCGUGGUAGAUCAACUCUUUUAAUACUCAUAUCAUCAAGAUCAAUCAAGCAGGAAGUAGGGUAUUACCUCCAUCGAGAGGGCCCGAACCUGGGUGAACAUUGUGUCCCCCGCCUCCUGUUACCAUUAGCCUUAGACGCACAGUUCGGGACCCCCUACCCGAGAUCCACCGGUUUUGACACCGACAGUCACGCUACUUCAAAGACGGCGCCAGUGAGAGGUCGCCUCCGCUCUGGCCGGGCAUUAAUGCGGUACUUACGCUCACCGUUUCACACAGGAAGCGCGCGCUGGCAAGGGAGUAUAGGUUUUGAACCGUUUCAGGUGUAGUACUGGUAGUUUGCAAAACUACUCAAUUAUUGCACUCAGCUUCCUCAGAAAUUGUGGUAAAAAACGUUACUCCACAGCUUGCUUCCCUUCUCCUUCCUCUUCCACCGCCCGCACAUGUCCGUGGGAAGCGACCGGUCAACCCUUAUAUAGGAGUGCUAGCACAAAAAGAUGCAUGCAUGACCACUAAAAUUUCCAUAUUAAAGCACCGCUCCGGCGGGAGUAUGGCAUAUGUUGUUACCUUCGGCCGGGCCAUGGCUACCGGGCAAUGACGACUAGAGAAGAGGUGGCGGGAGGGGAAUGAAUGCAGCUACUGUUUGGGUUCGCCUUCCGACUUAAAUAAAUGCGCAGCAUCAUGUGUACCCGCGGGUGCACAAAUUGUAACAUACUUGUCUGCUUAAGUGGGCGUCACGUAACUGGUGUGUGUGAGAGAGAGAUUAUGAGAGACAGAGUGCAUGUGUGCGACUCUACUCUUUGAACAUGUACUCAACCUUUUGCAUCGGGAUAUAAGUAUAAUGGUAUUUACUUUAGCUAGUGAUUUAUGUGGCCAUGUUAACGUGGUUGUGUGAAAAAAAUGUCACUUCCUGCUCGUGAUUUGCGUUAUAUAAUUACAAGCAAGAUUCUCGUGCAUUGCACGGAACAUCAAUAUGCAUUUUUUUACAAAACACCUGUUGUGAUUGACCCAUGCAAGAGUAAUCCCAUGUGUUAAAACUAAUGAUAUCUCGAGAAUUUUAUCAGAAAACUGGUAUCUCGAGAAUGUCAUCGAAAAAAUGAAAGAUGAGAGAUAAGCGAGGAGGAGUGGAGCGUGGUGGUGACUGGUGGUUGGAAUGGGCGGAGGCAUGGGGAUGGACGGCGUCGGCAGGCGGCAACGGCCACCAUGCUAGAUUGUUCCAGACACUUCCUGUUUUAAUUGCUAAGCAAUGAGGUUGUGGGAGAUAAGGAUGUGGAGAGAGGUGCGGGUAUAUUUUGUAAAAUUAUCAUAGUUUGCUUUCUAUCCGUCAAAUAUAGAUCAUACGGUCUGUAUUACAAGAUGGCAAGCACACCAUCAUCGCCAACUUGUUUUUUAUAAAGGUACAGAUGAUAAGUUUGCUAAGUACUAAAGUAAAGUGGAAUUUGUCCAUGUUAUGCAAGUAAAUUAAGGUGAUUGUUUAUCAUAUGGGUAAGGUUGGAUGAAGGGUGGUAGGUAUAAAUGCUCCGCCUAGAGCAUGUGUGUGUGAUAUGGAGUCUUAGUGUGUUUGUGUGGGGUGUGUGUGUGUGUGUGAGAGAGAGAGAGAGAGAGAGAGAUGGAGCCUUAGUGUGUGUNNNNNNNNNNNNNNNNNNNNNNNNNNNNNNNNNNNNNNNNNNNNNNNNNNNNNNNNNNNNNNNNNNNNNNNNNNNNNNNNNNNNNNNNNNNNNNNNNNNNNNNNNNNNNNNNNNNNNNNNNNNNNNNNNNNNNNNNNNNNNNNNNNNNNNNNNNNNNNNNNNNNAGAUAGAUGGAGUCUUAGUGUGUGUGUGGGGGGUGCGUGUGUGUGUGUGUGUUUGUGUGUGUGUCGCGGGGUCCUCUGUGGCGGAUGUAAUUUAAGUGUGCAUGGCUUCAUUAUAGAGAGGUGAUGUGUAUGGCAGAGGCCACCAACGAUGGGGUGCGAGAGAGAAAAUGCCCGUAGAGAGGGAAGAGAAGGUGUGUGUGCGUGAGAGGAGUCGACAUCGAGAGAACGUGUUUGUUCGAGAGACACCGAGGAAGACUACUAUAUAUCGAUGGUGCAUGUAGGCGGGAAUUAAACAAAGGGAUGGUCUUAUUGGUUUUAGGGAUAUAGGGGAAGAGUGAGAGGUGGGGAGGGGGGUAGCUAGAAGGAGAUUGUUAAGUGUGAGUGUGUGUUUUACCCAUCCAGGCGGAAGUUAUGUGCACACAAGAGGAGAACGAUUCGAUGUGGCAUUAGGAUUGAGGGUAAUUAACUACGUAUGGAGACAUAGAGACCUUGAACAUGCAUGUGUGAGAGGUAUACAUGUAUACAUGGGAUGUGUAUGUGUGUGCACGCGCAUGAUCGAGAUAAAAGAAAGAAGACAUAAGUCAUAAGAUCAACGACAUGGGAGAGACGGAUUGGUAUGACAACAUGCAUGCAUGUGAGAAUGCAGGAAAGAAGUCCCAAAAAUUGAGCAUGUGUUUUUGUCUUUAAGAGAUAGUGGAGUGGGCUGGAGCAUGCAUCUAUGGCGAGCAGAGGAAGUGAGGCACAACGAUUGUGCAAAAGAGAUCAACCUAUAAAUGCAUAUGUAUGGAGAGACAUAUAUAGUGUGGGUGAUAGGAAGCAAGACUCCGUGUGAGAAAGAAAUGUUGACGGAGAAACUACAGAUAGAUACAGAGAUGGAGAUGCUAGUUAGAGGGACAUCCGCUAGUUUGGGUGUUGGAGAUGACCGCCGGGUGGUUCAGAGGGUGAAGUUAUAUAUGUGUGUGAGAGGGCACUUGACUGCAUGUAGAGAGAAACAUAUGUAGUCUGCAUGAUAGGAAUCAAGAGUGAGGGCGAGAAAGAAGGUUGGUGGAGAAACAGAUAAAUAAAAAGAUAAAGAUGCUAGCUAGUGUGCGUUAGAGAUAGGAGUCGAGUGGAUCAAAAGGCUGAGUUAUGUGUGUGGGUGUGAGAGAGAUAGAGAGAGGGUGCAUGUGAGUCACAUACAAACAAAUAUCAGAGAGAAAUGAGAUCCCGAGAGACGGAGUUUUGUGUCUGCGAGAGAGAAAGAUAUUUCACAACGAGAGUGAUAGCUAGAGAGACAUAUGAGGGAACGCAAGAUAUCUCUAGGGAGAGAGAGUGUGUGUGAGAGACAUACAAGAGAAUAAUGGAGAAAUAUGAGACCCUGGGAGACAGAGUUUGUGUUUGUGUGUGAGAAAGAGAUAUUUAAGAGGAAGAGUCAUAGGUUCUCAUAUGUAAGGAGGGAACGACAUCUCUGUAUGAGGGGUGUGCGAGUGGCACACAUGGGAAUAGUAGAGAGAAAUGAGACCCCGGGAGACAAAGUUUUGUGUUUGUGUGAGAGAAAGAGAUUCCACAUGGAGAAUCAUAGUUAGAGACACAUAGCGGGGAGCGAGAUAUACUUAGAGAGAGAUAGAGUGAUAAAGGUCGAGGGAGAGAGUACCGUCAGUGUGUUACGAAGAUAAAAGAUCAUUGUUGACAUACAUGUAGCACGAGAGAUACCUGAGAGACGAUGAACGCGUAUAGGUCCAGAGAGAUAGUCCUAUAUAAGCAUGAGUGAUAGCUAUAUGAGACGAAUAUCUGGAUUAAAGGGGAUUCAAAUAUUUAAACUGGAGAUCACGACAUCGAUAAUAUCAUAACGCAAAUUGGUGUAUCAAACAUGCAUAUUCAUUUCAAUUUGGGCACACGUGUAAUGUUAUAUAGUUUAUCAAUAUUGGUGAUCCAUAGAUUCUUUAAUUACAAAUAAUGCAUGGUUUAUAUGCAAUUACUGUCUAAACGGGGUUACACUAUAUGUUGCGUGUGUGAAACACAUUAUACAUGUUUGAGAAGUAAAAAACCCGCAUGAAACACACAUUAAUUGGAGACAAUUAGCAAGGAAUGCAUACAUUGGAUUUCAACAUAAAGUGGUUUCAAAUAUUUGAAAAUCCAAAUUGAUGGAUACAACCUUAUGAAUAUGAGAUCAUGCCAUUUGUAAACCAUAUUUAUGUAUAAAUGGUGUUGUGCUUUUGAAAGUAUAUAUAAAAAAUGAUGUAUAUAGAAUUUAACUCCAAAUGAAAUUGGAUCCCGCCCAAAAAAAUAGAAUACAAACGGGAUUUGAAUUGAGUUGACACGGUAAACAUGCACUCUGCAAAAUUUGAACGAAGUGGGGAAAGUCGCAGUAACCGCCCGAAACCAAAAUCUGCGAGAUGGAAAUUACUACUGCCUAUCCCUGCCACGCAAAGCCUAUCUGCCGGACUUCUAUAGGUUUUGAUAGGGGUAGGUUUGUAAUUUCACCCAAACGUGACAUAACCGCCUCUCACCCGGAUUCAUACACGGUGGGCGCCAAAACACAGUGUGUCCUCGGCCAAAAUCGACUCCCUCCCCGAUUCAUAUUCAUACACGGUGGGCGCCAAAAACAAACUCUCGUCGGCAAAUAUUCGGUGUAUGCAAGAUUACCGUCCUAUCCCCAACUGACUAAUAUUGUUGUGAUGUAGUAGAAAUUUGAAACGGGGGCUAUGUUUGUAAAUUUCCUCGCAUUUGAGACAAGCGCGCCCUGAAUACAUGGUUCCCCCUUCCUCUCUACCUCCCUUUUCCCGAUUCAUACUCUGUGGGCGCCAAAACACCCUCUCCACCCCACCCUCCUCCGUCCGCUGUCGUCCGCCACCCCAUCCACCGCCGUCCUCCUCCACCAUGCCGGAGCUGAUACGCUGAUGAUGCCGUCCAUUACAAGAGAUCGACCUCUCUCAUCCACGGCUUCGGACCGGGAUCCUUGCAUCCCGUCCUCUAGCUUCAUCCCCGCCGUCGUCCACCUUGCCGGCGCCGCUCCUACGACCGUCUUGUCCACCGCGCCCUGCCGCCACUGUCUACCCUCCUAGAUCUGCUUCCACGCUGCCGACAGCCAUCGCUACCGCAGCACCAUCAAAUUCUCAGCAGAUGCGUACACGGCACCGCACCAGAGGCGGUACUCUUUCGUAUCUGCUCAACUUAUUUAUCGCAGCAAGAUAGAUCGCCACUGCUUUACUCUGAUUUCUUAUCUUGGUUGCGAAGUAGCCUUUGUCCGGUUUGCACCUUCAGAUCCGCCAUGGCACGCUCAACACUAUACUCCCAAUGCUUAUGGUUUUCCCCUUUUAUAUUCCACACUAGUUAAAUCAUAGUAGACUAAAUUUCAAAAUUGGGUUAGUCGAUUUUUCAGAGCUCGCCAGAGUUUGCCGGUGCGAAUGAAGGGGCUCGGGUGGUUGUGGGGCCUCACCGAACGAAGAAACUCGACGCGGGUGGGGAUUGGAGUGGGGGUGGGGGUGGGGGUGGGGGUAGCGGAGGAACACAGCCGGUGGGGGUUGGUGGUCCGGCCGGCGGCCCGUGCGGUGUUCUGUAUGGGAAGAAUCAGAGACGAGGAAGAAGAAGGGUUAGGAGACGUAGAAUCUUCAUCCAACCGCCUGAAAUGGUCGAGAGACAGCUGGGAGUUGCAUUCUUAAUGCGCUCUGGUUCAUCAUGUGUGGGCACUGCGCAACCAACAUUUUAUUAUCCAAAAUCUGAUUGCUCUUCUUUACCAUGUUCCUCUUCCGUUCUUCUUUAAUAUGUACUCUCUCUGUUCCUAAAUACAAGUCUUUGUAUAGAUUCCACCAUGGACUACAUAUGGAGCAAAAUGAGUGAAUCUACACUCUAAAAUGUAUCUGGAUACAUCUGGAUGUGAUCCAUAGUGGAAAUCUCUACGAAGACUUGUAUUUUGGAACGGAGGGAGUAUGAUAGUAGUACAGUAUGUUCCUUUUACUGAAGAUGAGCAGGGACAUUUGCAGUGUAGAGGUCUAUACACUCGGUUGUGAUGGACACUUUGAGCCUCUUAGAUUCGUAGGAUUUUGUAAACAUAGGAAUAGGAUUUGUAGUGACCUGCCCACUUGAAUCCUAUAAGAAUAGCAAGGAAAUGCGGGGAGCUGUGUCGCCUUUGAGAGUUACACUGAUAUUAACAGUACCGCACCUUCACUUGAAGAGAGCUGGUAUCCGAAGCCUUUCUAGCCGUACCGGCAAUACUAGCACAUAUAUUCCAGCAAGUUCCACUUUGCUGAUUUUACUCUGAUGCUUAAGGUUUUCCCGUUAUAUCUACACUAUGAUCUGUGUAGCUGCUUUGUGUCGCACUAGCAGCAGUCCACUCUUGAAGCUAAACACUGCAAUGACAUACAAAAUUGGCACCAAGGCAUUGAGUGCCAUUCUGGAUGCAAUGAAACUCAUACGCUCCCCACCUGUUGAGUCUUGUUCAGAAUGUGAUCCUAAUGACUCUUGUUCAAGAUUGCCACAUAUAGAGAGACAACAUGGAAUUGCAUUUCUUUGGGCAUUGAGAUUCAUCAUGAGUGGGCAACCUUGUAUGCAAUGAAGUAGAACCUCAAUAAUAUGUUUCCUCUUCUGUUCUUUAACAUGUUCCUCUUUGUUUAUCCUGUAUUUAGUACGUACAGUAUGUUCCUUGUCAGGAAGGGGUGCAUGGACAUCUGCAGUCAACAGCUGAUAGAGCUGGCAUGUACGUGAUCGAUAGGCUUUUAAUUACUACAGGCAAUACAACACUGUAUUUUCAAGCCAGUUCCACUUUCCCGAUUUAUAUAUCGUGGUUAUGGUGUACCCAUGUUAUGUAGACUAUGAUCUUCCUAGUUGUUGGGUGCUCUUGUUAUCAUGGUUUGGCAAUAAACUCUCUAUACAAUAUAUUAUGAACCUAUCAUCUGCCAACUAUCCUUACUUCUGGAGUCUAUUUUUUGUGUACUUGUGCCAGAUUAUAUAAAUGCAUGCACCAUAUUACAGCACACAUGAGCUCUCUCAUCAGAAUCCAGUGAUAGCACACAAGUGUUUACAGGGGCGCCCCUAUAUUAGAAUAUCAUCUGCAUUACAAAGAUAAUCUCACAACUAUUUAUGUUUUCAUGGUUCUCAGAUAUUAUACGCAAUUACAGUGAAUAUCAGAAUUCGCGCAUCAGAAGAAUAUUGUGGAACACUGCAAUGACUUACAAAAUUGGCACCAAGGCAUUGAGUGCCAUUCUGGAUGCAAUGAAACUCGUACGCUCCCCACCUGUUGAUUCUUGUUCGGAAUAUCAUCCUAAUGACUAUUCUAACCUCGAGGAGUCAAAGGCAGAUGGCCUGUCCUGUUCACCCAUCAAGGUGCAUGUUCUAAUUUGGCAAGGUUUUAUUGAUUGCGCGUAUCUUGCAUAUGUUGUCUUGCAUUUCUUCUACUUUGUUGCACCGCCAUCUGCUUAGCUUACUCAUCAUAUAACUCGAGAUGCCAUGCCCAUCCAUUAUCAAUACAUAUUCCAUCUAUCAUCAUACCAUGUUUUUUCACUCAAAUGUUGUUCUUGUGCAUCAGACAUCAAAAAGGAAGAGGGCGAUUGCCGAACCUGAAGGAGCACCAGCAAAGUCCUUGAAAAACGUGGUGGUGCCGGAGAAAUCAGACAUCACCCCACUUAUAUUGGCUGUACAACCAGUGACAUAAAAUGUAGGACCGACUCCAGCAGACUGUACCCAUACUUCAUUGGCCACACAACUAGCCCCACCACACAGGACCUGCACUCCAGCAAAAGGUAUACCGAUUUCAUUUGCCAUAGCACCAGCCGUACCAUAGAAAAAUCCCACUCCAGCAAAAAGUACAACAAGUCCACCGGCCGAAGACCUAUCUCAACUGCAGAGACGGCCAAUUCCUACAGAUUGGAACCCCAUUCCAUCUAUUCCCAAUCUAAAAGACAAUGUUUUCAAUGUUGUUAGGGACUACGUGCAUAUAUUCCCAUCAUGGGAAGAUUAUAGUGAAGACAAACACCAUUUUCACAUCUUCCUGUCCAACUUACGUGUAAGUGUUAUUAUUCAUGGUUAUUAUUUUCCUAUUUUCUGCUGAUCGAACACAUCAAUGAUUUACAUUACAUUUUUGUAACUAGGCGAGGGUCAAUCUGGAUAGUCAUGACGAGCAAAGCUUGCUUGUGCUUUUCAAGGAAGCAUUGCAGCAGUAUCGGUGUUACCUGAGGAAUUCACACUUUGAUGGCAAGUCUAUAAACGAAUUUCCGGUGAAGUCUCCUAUGCUAAAUUUAGAAGACAUUGAAUGGAAAAACCUUGUUAUGCACUGGUCUCGUUCCCAGGAUGAGGUACUGUCUAUGAAAUCACAUGACUUGAACUUCUACUCUUCCACAUGUGCCUUAUGGAUCUUUUUUGCAGGAAAUCGGCUUGAAGAAGAAUUCUGGUUUGAAAAGAACGACAUGAUAUCGCAAAUAUGCUGCCCACUGCUUUGCUCUUGUUAGUACUUGUUGUCCUGUAUCACUGUACUUGCAUACAUACCUGGUUCAUUAUGUGACAGCAGUAUGCAUGAUAGCUUGCUUAUCAAUUGAUCGCUCCAAAUUAUCUGAUCUGUAUGAAUGGUUACAUUAGUGUAGAAUAUAUCCAAUGCCAAUGAAUUUUUUUAGCUCUGCAUUGUUCUUGUAAGUACAUGUUGUCCUUUAUCGGUGUACUUAUAUUGACAGGUAGUUGUUCAUGUACCAUCACUCUGCAGCUUAUUUUCCUUUGCCCUCCAUUUUCUACACAUUAGAUCUAUAUUUACUCUUACCAUAAGGUUGGUACUGAAGAAGUUUAGUUGUGCAUUGCUCUUGGCUGUGCCUUUUGCCUAUAUUGUUGCACAUACAUUUAUAGCUACUUGGUUAUGUAGCAUCACUCUUCAUCUUAUCUUAAAUAUUCUCCAUUUUUUCGUAUAUUAUCACAUCUAUAUUUACUCUUAACAAAAUGUAGAAUAAAGGCAAUGCUUAUGAAGAAGAUUCCGUGGUAAACUUCUUAAAUUGCCCCCCCCAUCGGCAUGGACAAGGGCUUUAUAAAGCAUGUCUUCACCAGUAAUGUAAGUUUGUCCUUCUCAAGCCUUCAAACUUUGUUGUGUAUAAUUGGUUAGGCAUGACUGCAAUGGCUGUUUAUUUUUGGUGUUUGCAUCAAAUUGCAUGUUUAAAGUUUAUUAUGUAGUUCAUAAAAAAAAGUUUGUCCUUCUCAAUUUAAGUUUUCAGUUGUACAACCAAGUUCCUUCUUCAUACCAUGUAAAUUAAACUAUACAGAGCAAGUGACCUUCUUUUGCACUGCAUGUAUGCUUCUGUUCUUCAUCCGUAAUCCAGUAGUGUGGUGAAUCGACCCACUACAGCAUAAUGUCAUAUUCUGCAAUGUCUUAUCUAUGAACAAUUUCAUAUCAUUCUACUAUUAUUAAAACCGUCUCUUUAUUUGCCAAUCAGAAAUGGGAUAAAUUGACAGCACACUAACCAUUGAUACUUAUGAGUUCUUGAUCUAUAAUCCAGUGGUGUCGUGAAGCUGCCAACUCCUUCACAAUGUCAUUUCCUGCCAUGUCUUGACCUGAACAAUAUCAUAUUGUGUUAAUGCAAUUUUAAACUGUGUCACUUUAUUCGUGAGUAAGAAAUGUGAUGAAUUGUCAGCACUGAUACUUUUAUGUGCAAAACAUGUCAUCUGUCUGCUUGUUUAUCUUUUAGAGUGAGGAAGAUAUAAGUGUUGAACAAGAGCAGUCUCAUCAUCUUGCUCAACUACUUGCGCUGCAGCUCCCCAGCAGGGCUAACCUUUCCUGAAAUCUAUUGAAGUGAUGUCGGUUUUGUAUAUUAUCUUGUCGGCGUGUUUAUUUGCACUGGUGGUGAUCUUUGAUGUCCACUGUAUGUAAUCUGUUGUCUUCUUGUGCUUUAUUAUCAUAGUGUAGAACUUUGAUGCCCAGUGGAUGUAAUAUGCCGUAAUUUCUUUAUUGCAUAGUCUAGGUUUUUUCUUAUUCACGAUGCUCUAGUUAUUUUACUGUAUAUAUAUCCCGUCUUCGCAGUAAACCGGCCAAACGAUAAAAUUACGGUACAUAAUCGGGCCGUCAUGCAAUCACGAUGUAUGAUCCGCAUCAUGGGCCCCGUCAUCUUGGUCCGUUAAAUGGCCAAAAGUAAACUGGCCCACUAGUAGAUUCGGGCCUCUAAUAGGCCGAGUAACCCCCAGCUCUCUUUUCACAAGAAAACUCAAUGGGCUUUUAGGAGGCUGAGAAGUACGUUGGGCCUGAAACGUGCCGAACAGCUCACGGGCCGGCAGCAGCCCGAAAUGGACCCUGGCCCAUGAUUGUGUGAAUCAAAUCACGUGAUUUUAACAAGCCAAAAUUUUCUCGGUCCUUGUUUGGCCCAAUCAGAUAUCGGCUGCGAGCAGGCCGGAUGCAAACUGGGCCGUAGUUAGGCCCAACUAUAUGAUGGGCUUUUAACAGGCCGAGAUUAAUAUAGGGCCGAAAUGUUAAACGGACCCUUAACAGGCUGAAACUAAUAUCAGGCCGAAUUACUAAAUGGGCCUUUAGCUAGUGGUCCCAAAAGCACAGCGUCUAGUUGACGGGCCGAAUCUGAUAUGGGCCAUAAUUUAGCCCACAGCCUCUUAAAGGGCCGGACCUGAUCUGGGCCAUAAUUUGGCCCAGAACAUGGUAGGCUUUUAAUGGGCCAGAUCUCAUAUGGGCCAUUAUUAGGCCCGGAACGUGGCAGGCCAUUAAUGGACCGGAUCAAAUAUGGGCCGGCAUUUGGCCCAAAACAUGGCAGCCAGUUAAUGGGCCGGCCUACUAGGGUCCUCAAAAUCUUGUGGGCCUACAGCUGGGCCGGCCCAUUAAUGUCGGAGAAAUCUCGUGGGCCUUUAGCAGGGCUGGCCCAUUAUGAUCUGCAAGAGUCUUGUGGGCCUUUACCUGGGUCGGCCCAUUAUGGCACACAAAAAUCUUCUGGGCCUUUACCUAGGCCGGCCCAUUAUGGCCCGCAAAAUCUUGUGGGCUUUUAGCUAGGCCAUCCCAUUAUGGUCCACAAAAUCUCAUGGGCCUUUAGCUGGGCCGGCCCAUUAUGGUCUGCAAAUUCUUGUGGGCCUUUAGUUGGGCCGUCUCAUUUAAACUUGAUGGGUCGGUCCACGUGUCAACAUAUCAUAGGCGCGUCUCGCCCAUUGGAUGAGUGACACCUGUGCCAACGCGGACCUGACACGUGUCUCCUCCAGCCAAUGAUGAUUUUACACAUGGAAAAUCCCCAUUGGUCGGGGUUGUUAAUGGGUUAUCGGAUCCAAAACCCGACCCGAUAGCUUAACGGCGUUCCGUUACGGUGGAUGCCACGUGUCGGUCACCCUUGACGAAAGCACUUCUGUGACGCGUGAUUUAUCAUCAUGGAAGUGGACAUUUCCGUGAUGAUAAUUUUGGUAAUGUCAUGGAACACUUCUACGACAGCACAGGUAUGACUAUCUUGAUUCUGUCAUAAAAUCGUCAUGGAUGUACAUGCAUGACAAAAAACGCGACCUACUGUGACAAACAUGUAUCAUCACAAAAGUGUAUUUUUUUGUAGUGCUUUUCUAUCAAUAAUAUGCAAAUCAAAUUCUUGGAGCAAGAGAACCCAUCUAAUAAGUCUAGGCUUAGCAUCUUUCUUUUCCAUAAGAUAUUUAAUAGCAGCGUGAUCAGUGUGAAUAGUAACUUUAGAAUCAACAAUAUAAGGUCUGCACCUAUGAUACGUCUCCAACGUGUCUAUAAUUUAUGAAGCAUUCAUGUUAUUUUAUUAUCUGUUUUGAAUGAUUACAGGCUUUAUUAUACACUUUUAUAUUACUUUUGGGACUAACCUAUUAACCGGAGGCCCAGCCCAUAUUGUUGUUUUAUUGCAUGUUUCACUAUUUCGAAGAAAAGGAAUAACAAACGGAGUCCAAACGGAAUGAAACCUUCGGCAGCGUGAUUUUUUGGAAGAAUAUCACCCAGGAGACUUGGAGUUCACGUCAGAAGAGCCUCGAGGAGGCCAGGAGAUAGGAGGGCGCCCCCCUACUGGGCACGCCCCCCUGUCUCGUGGGCCCCUCGAGCACCUCCCGACCGACUUCUUUCGCCUAUAUAAGCCUACGUACCCUAAAAACAUCGAAUAUCAAGAUAGAUCGGGGGUUCCGCCGCCGCAAGCCUCUAUAGCCACCAAAAACCUCUCGGGAGCCUGUUCCGGCACCCUACCGGAGGGGGAACCCAUCACCGGUGGCCAUCUUCAUCAUCCCGGCGCUAUCCAUGACAAGGAGAGAGUAGUUCACACUCGGGGCUGAGUGUAUGUACCAGUAGCUAUGUGUUUGAUCUCUCUCUCUCUCUCUCUCUCUCUCUCUCUCUCUCUCUCUCUCGUGUUCUCUCUCGUGUUCCCUCUAAGGCACGAUCUUGAUGUAUCCCGAGAUUUGCUAUUAUAGUUGGAUCUUAUGAUGUUUCUCCCCCUCUACUCUCUUGUGAUGAAUUGAGUUUCCCCUCUUGAAGUUAUCUUAUCGGAUUGAGUCUUUAUUUGAGAACACUUGAUGUAUGUCUUGCCGUGUUUAUCUGUGGUGACAAUGGGAUAUCACAUGCCACUUGAUGUAUGUUUUGGUGACCAACUUGCGGGUUCCGCCCAUGAACCUAUGCAUAGGGGUUGGCACACGUUUUCUUGAUUCUCCGGUAGAGACUUUGGGGCACUCUUUGAAGUACUUUGUGUUGGUUGGAUGAAUCUGAGAUUGUGUGAUGCAUAUCGUAUAAUCAUGCCCACGGAUACUUGAGGUGUCAAUGGAGUAUCUAGGUGACAUUAGGGUUUUGGUUGAUUUGUGUCUUAAGGUGUUAUUCUAGUACGAACUCUUUAAUAGAUCGAUCCGAAAGAAUAACUUUGAGGUGGUUUCGUACCCUACCAUAAUCUCUACGUUUGUUCUCCACUAUUAGUGGCUUUGGAGUGACUCUUUGUUGCAUGUUGAGGGAUUGUUAUAUGAUCUAUCUAUGUUAUUAUUGUUGAGAGAACUUGCACUAGUGAAAGUAUGAACCCUAUGCCUUGUUUCCUACCAUUGCAAUACCAUUUACGCUCACUUUUGUCGCUUACUACCUUGAUGUUUUUAUAUUUUCAGAUUACAAAAACCUUUAUAUACCAUCCAUAUUGCACUUGUAUCACCAUCUCUUCGCCGAACUAGUGCACCUAUACAAUUUACCAUUGUAUUGGGUGUGUUGGGAACACAAGAGACUCUUUGUUAUUUGGUUGCAGGGUUGUUUGAGAGAGACCAUCUUCAUCCUACGCCUCCUACGGAUUGAUAAACCUUAGGUCAUCCACUUGAGGGAAAUUUGCUACUGUCCUACAAACUAUGCACUUGCAGGCCCAACAACGUCUACAAGAAGAAGGUUGUGUAGUAGACAUCAAGCUCUUUUCUAGCGCCGUUGUCGGGGAGGUGAGUGCUUGAAGGUAUAUCUUUAGAUCUUGCAAUCAGAUCUUUUUGUUUCUUGUUUUAUCACUAGUUUAGUUUAUAAAAGAAAACUACAAAAAAUGGAGUUAAGUUUGUCUCAUACACUUCGUCUUUUUAAUAUCUUUUGUGAGUAUGAUGAAAAGGAAAAUUGUGCUCAAGUGCUAGAAUAAGAAAUCUAUAGAAUGUUUGACACUAAAUCUUUGAAUGAUGAGCAUGAUUGCAAUGUUGUUAGUAUGAAUUCCUUGAAUAUCCAUGAUGCUAAUGAUAUGCAAUGCCACAAGCUUGGGGAAGCUAUGUUUGAUGAAGAUGAUAUUUUUGUCCCCCAAGUUUUGAUGAGCAAAUUUAUUAUGAUGAAAGCAUGCCUCCUAUUUAUGAUGAUUAUAUUGUUGAAAGUGGGUUUGGAAGAGUGUCAACUUUAGGAAGUAGUGAUCCCACUAUUUUGGAGGAUGUUGAAUCUUAUUGUGAUGAACAUGAAAGUGGAUUUGGAAGAGUGUCAACUUUAUUUAGUGAUGAUUCCACUAUUUUGGAAGAGGUUCCAAUUGAUUAUGAGAACAAAGUUUCUAUCUAUGAUGAUUAUUGUGAUGACUUGUAUGCUAUUAAGAAUAAUGAUAACCAUGAAACUUGUCAUCAUGAUUUUAGUUUUCAAUUGGAUUAUGCCUCACAUGAUAAUUAUUUUGUUGAGUUUGCUCCCACUACUAUUCAUGAGAAGAAAUUUGCUUAUGUGGAGAGUAGUAAAUUUUCUAUGCUUGUAGAUCAUGAAAAGAUUGCUUUAGGUGCUGGUUAUAUUGUUGAAUUCAUUCAUGAUGCUACUGAAAAUUAUUAUGAGGGAGGAACAUAUGCUUGUAGGAAUUGCAAUAAUAUCAAGUUUCCUCUCUAUGUGCUUAAAAUCUUGAAGCUAUGCUUGUUUUACCUUCCUAUGCUAGUUGAUUAUUGUUCUCAUAAGUUGUUUUCUCACAGAAUCCCUAUGCGUAGGAAGUGGGUUAGACUUAAAUGUGCUAGUCACAUGCUUCAUGAUGCUCCGGUUAUGUUUCAAUUCUUAUCUUUUAUGUGAGUGCCAUUUUUUACUGGGGAGUGCUUUUAGGUUGAUUCUUUUUGAGGAUGAUUAAUAUACAAAUUACUCAGGUCCAGAAAUUUAUUACAGAAUUUUUGGAGUUCCAGAAGUAUACGUUUGAUACAGAUUACUACAGACUGUUCUGUUUAUGACAGAUUCUGUUUUCUAUGUGUUGUUUGCUUAUUUUGAUGAAUCUAUGAGUAGUAUUGGAAGGUAUAAACCAUAGAGAAGAUGGAAUAUAGUAGAGAUUACACCAAUAUGAAUUUAGAAUGAGUUCAUUACAGUACCUAAUUGGUGGUUUUAUUUUCUUAUACUGACGGAGCUUACGAGUAUUGUGUUGAGUUUUGUGUGGUUGAAGUUUUCAAGUUUUGGGUAAAGAUUUGAUGGACUAUGGAAUAAGGAGUGGAAAGAGCCUAAGCUUGGGGAUUACCAAGGCACUCAAAGGUAAUAUUCAAGGACAACUAAGAGCCUAAGCUUGGGGAUGCCCCGGAAGGCAUCCCCUCUUUCGUCUUCGUUCAUCGGUAAACUUUACUUGGAGCUAUAUUUUUAUUCACCACAUGAUAUGUGUAUUGCUUGGAGCGUCAUUUUCUUUUGUUAGUAUUUUCUUGCUGUUAUUUAGAAUAAUGCUUUGCAUCUUUAGUUUCAAUAAAAAUGUCAAGGAUAGCCUUUGCCAUGCCUAUUUUGCUAGUAUACAUGUUGCUGUUUGAAAACAGAAAGUUUACCGCUGUUGCAAAAAUUCCCUAGAAAAGUCAGAGAAUGGUAUAAUGUUGAAUCUUUUUUCAUAUUGAGAUCUGAUAAAUUUACUACAGUGGGAAUUUUCUGCCAUAAUUUUUGGAGUUAGGGAAGUAUUGAUACUCUUGCAUUCUUUACAGACUGUACUGUUUUGGCAGAUUGCUGUUAUGGUUGCAUUGUUUGCAUAUGUUUGCUUGUUUAAUGAUUCUAUUUGAGGAUAGGAGUAUUAAAUAUGCAGAUGCAUUUAGUAUUCAAUGUUGAAUAAUAAUGUUAGUGAUUUGUUACAGUAGAAAAUGAUAAGGUUUUUCAUUGGUUUAUACUAACCUAUCUCACGAGUUCUUGUUGAGUUUGUUGUGGAUGAAGCUUUUGAUAAAAAGAGAAACCAUGAUAUGAGAGGAAUUAAGGAGACAUAAAAUCUCAAGCUUGGGGAUGCCCAAGGCACCCCAAGAUAAUAUUUCAAGAAGUAUCAAGCAUCUUAGCUUGGGGAUGCCCCGUUAGGCAUCCCACCUUUCUUCUUCAACAACUAUCGGUUACUAUCGGUUGAACCUAAGUUUUUGCUUCUUCACAUGAGUUGUGCUAUCCUUGCAAUGUCAUUUUAUUUUGUUUUGCUUGCUGUUUGAAUACAAUACCAAGAUCUGAAAUUCUUAAAUGAGAGAGAGUCUUCAUAUAGCUACAUAAUUGUUUAGCUACUCAUUGAUCUUCACUUAUAUCUUUUUGGAGUAGUUUGUCAUUUACUCGUGUGCUUCACUUAUAUACUUUGAGUAAAUGGUUGAAUGAGUUGAAUGUAAUAAAUCUGAAAUUAUAUAUGUUUCAUUUGCUUACUCCAUGGGUAGUAAUGACUUCACAUCUAAGAAGUAAAGGUUGUAAAUUUAUUGACGAUUAGCAAGCAUUGUUUUAGUCAUUUUAACAAUUCAUGAAAGAAUAUUGAAGGAAGAGAGAUUUCACAUAUAAAUAUAUUAUCAUAGACAUCUUUUAUAGUUUGGAGCACUCAUUAAGUAUGACAUGCUAAAGAGUUGAUGUUGGACAAGGAAGACAACGUAAUGGGUUAUGUUUUCUCACAUCUCAGUUAAAGUAUAUUGUCAUGGAUCAUUCAAACAUGUUGAGCUUGCCUUUCCACCUCAUGCUAGCCAAAAAUUCCUAGCACCAAGUAGAGAUACUACUUGUGCUUCCAAAUAUCCUUAAACCCAAUUUUUCCAUGAGAGUCCACCAUAUCUACCUAUGGAGUGAGUAAGAUCCUUCAAGUAAGUUGUCAUCGGUGCAAGCAAUAAAAAUUGCUCUCUAAAUAUGCAUGACUUAUUAGUGCGGAGAAAAUAAGCUUUGUACGAUCUUGUUAUGGAAGCGAUAAAAGCGACGGACUGCAUAAUAAAGGUCCAUAUACAAGGGGCAAUAUAAAGUGACGUUCUUUCGCAUUAAGAUUUUGUGUAUCCAACCCUAAAAGCGCAUGACAACCUCUUCUUCCCUCUGCGAAGGGCCUAUCUUUUACCUUAUGUAUUUUACUUUAUGCAAGAGUCAAGGUGAUCUUCACCUUUCCCUUUUUCAUUUUNNNNNNNNNNNNNNNNNNNNNNNNNNNNNNNNNNNNNNNNNNNNNNNNNNNNNNNNNNNNNNNNNNNNNNNNNNNNNNNNNNNNNNNNNNNNNNNNNNNNNNNNNNNNNNNNNNNNNNNNNNNNNNNNNNNNNNNNNNNNNNNNNNNNNNNNNNNNNNNNNNNNNNNNNNNNNNNNNNNNNNNNNNNNNNNNNNNNNNNNNNNNNNNNNNNNNNNNNNNNNNNNNNNNNNNNNNNNNNNNNNNNNNNNNNNNNNNNNNNNNNNNNNNNNNNNNNNNNNNNNNNNNNNNNNNNNNNNNNNNNNNNNNNNNNNNNNNNNNNNNNNNNNNNNNNNNNNNNNNNNNNNNNNNNNNNNNNNNNNNNNNNNNNNNNNNNNNNNNNNNNNNNNNNNNNNNNNNNNNNNNNNNNNNNNNNNNNNNNNNNNNNNNNNNAUUGGAUGUACGUUAGCAUGAACUAUUAUUGUUGACAUCACCCAAAGGUGAAUACGUUUGGAGGCAACAUUAUAAGCCCCUAUCUUUCUCUGUGUCUGAUUAAAACUUCAUAACCAUAAGUAUUGCGUGAGUGUUAGCAAUUGUAGAAGACUAUAUGAUAGUUGAGUAUGUGAAGUUUGCUAAAUCAAAGCUAUGACAUAGACCCUUCCUGAAAGUAAGAUGAAUUGCAAUUGUUUGAUGACUAAGAAUGAAGUUUCCUAGUUUUCAAGAAAGUUUAUGGUCUAUGCUUUAACAUGUGAAUAGCUUGUUACUUUAUCGUGAGAAGUUUUAUGAGAUGAACUACUGUUAUGACAUAUAAUGAUGCUAGUAAAGGUGAUUGAAAUUAUCAUUGAUCAAACUUGUGCACCUUCUAGCAUUCACACUUCAUAAAUUCUUUCUUUUAUUAUUUACCUAGUCGAGGACGAGCAGGAAUUAAGCUUGGGGAUGCUGAUACGUCUCCAACGUAUCUAUAAUUUAUGAAGCAUUCAUGCUAUUUUAUUAUCUGUUUUGAAUGAUUACGGGCUUUAUUAUACACUUUUAUAUUACUUUUGGGACUAACCUAUUAACCGGAGGCCCAACCCAUAUUGUUGUUUUAUUGCAUGUUUCAGUAUUUCGAAGAAAAGGAAUAUCAAAUGGAGUCCAAACGGAAUGAAACCUUCGGCAGCGUGAUUUUUUGGAAGAAUAUCACCCAGGAGACUUGGAGUUCAUGUCAGAAGAGCCUCAAGGAGGCCAGGAGAUAGGAGGGCGCGUGCCCCCCUACUGGGCGCGCCCCCUGUCUCGUGGGCCCCUCGAGCACCUCCCGAGUGACUUCUUUCGCCUAUAUAAGCCUACGUACCCUAAAAACAUCGAAUAUCAAGAUAGAUCGGGAGUUCCGCCGCCACAAGCCUCUGUAGCCACCAAAAACCUCUCGGGAGCCUGUUCCGGCACCCUGCUGAAGGGGGAACCCAUCACCGGUGGCCAUCUUCAUCAUCCCGGCGCUAUCCAUGACGAGGAGGGAGUAGUUCACCCUUGGGGCUGAGGGUAUGUACCAGUAGCUAUUUGUUUGAUCUCUCUCUCUCUCGUGUUCUCUCUCGUGUUCUCUCUAAGGCACGAUCUUGAUGUGUCCCAAGCUUUGCUAUUAUAGUUGGAUCUUAUGAUGUUUCUCCCCCUCUACUCUCUUGUGAUGAAUUGAGUUUCCCCUCUUGAAGUUAUCUUAUCGGAUUGAGUCUUUAUUUGAGAACACUUGAUGUAUGUCUUGCCGUGUUUAUCUGUGGUGACAAUGGGAUAUCACGUGCCACUUGAUGUAUGUUUUGGUGACCAACUUGCGGGUUCCGCCCAUGAACCUAUGCAUAGGGGUUGGCACACGUUUUCUUUAUUCUCCGGUAGAGACUUUGGGGCACUCUUUGAAGUACUUUGUGUUGGUUGGAUGAAUCUGAGAUUGUGUGAUGCAUAUCGUAUAAUCAUGCCCACGGAUACUUGAGGUGUCAAUGGAGUAUCUAGGUGACAUUAGGGUUUUGGUUGAUUUGUUUCUUAAGGUGUUAUUCUAGUACAAACUCUUUAAUAGAUUGAUCCAAAAGAAUAACUUUGAGGUGGUUUCAUACCCUACCAUAAUCUCUACGUUUGUUCUCCGCUAUUAGUGGCUUUGGAGUGACUCUUUGUUGCAUGUUGAGGGAUUGUUAUAUGAUCUAUCUAUGUUAUUAUUGUUGAGAGAACUUGCACUAGUGAAAGUAUGAACCCUAUGCCUUGUUUCCUACCAUUGCAAUACCAUUUACGCUCACUUUUAUCGCUUGCUACCUUGCUGUUUUUAUAUUUUCAGAUUACAAAAACCUUUAUCUACCAUCCAUAUUGCACUUGUAUCACCAUCUCUUCGCCGAACUAGUGCACCUAUACAAUUUACCAUUGUAUUGGGUGUGUUGGGGACACAAGAGACUCUUUGUUAUUUGGUUGCAGGUCGUUUGAGAGAGACCAUCUUCAUCCUACGCCUCCUACGGAUUGAUAAACCUUAUGUCAUCCACUUGAGGGAAAUUUGCUACUGUCCUACAAACCUGUGCACUUGCAGGCCCAACAAAGUCUAUAAGAAGAAGGUUGUGUAGUAGACAUCAACUUAUCACAUGCAAAUACAACUGCUAAGAAUUCUUUUUCAGUAGUAGCAUAAUUUCUCUGGGAAGUAUCAAGAGUUUUACUAGCAUACUGGAUAACAUUAAAUUUCUUAUCAACUCUUUGCCAUAGAACAGCACCUACAGCAUAAUCACUAGCAUCACACAUAAUUUCAAAGGGUAAAUUCCAAUCGGGUGGCUGAACAAUAGGUGCAGCGAUCAAAGCUUUCUUAAGUAUUUCAAAUGCUUCUACACAAUCAUCAUCAAAGACAAAAGGAAUAUGUUUUUGCAAUAAAUUAGUCAGAGGCCUAGAGAUUUUGGAAAAGUCCCUAAUGAACCUCCUAUAAAAACUGGCAUGACCAAGGAAACUUCUUAUACCUUUUAUGUCCUUGGGACAUGGCAUCUUUUCAAUAGCAUCAACUUUAGCUUUAUCAACUUCAAUACCUUUCUCAGAAAUCUUAUGCCCCAAGACAAUGCCUUCAUUAACCAUAAAGUGGCACUUUUCCCAAUUCAAGAUGAGACUAGUAUCUUCACAUCUCUGCAAAACUCGAUCAAGGUUGCUCAAGCAAUCAUCAAAAGAGGAUACAUAAACGGAGAAGUCAUCCAUGAAUACCUCACAAAUCUUUUUACAAAAGUCAGAGAAUAUAGCCAUCAUGCAUAUUUGAAAGGUAGCAGGUGCAUUACAUAAACCAAAAGGCAUACGUCUAUAAGCAAAAGUACCGUAAGGGCAAGUAAAAGUAGUUUUUGAUCGAUCCUCAGCUGACAUGGGUAUUUGAGAGAAACCAGAAUAACCAUCUAGAAAGCAGAAAUGUGUGUGUUUGGAUAGUCUUUCUAGAAUUCGAUCAAUAAAAGGUAAAGGGUAAUGAUCUUUCUUAGUAGCUUUAUUUAAUUUAUGGAAAUCAUUACCAUCCUAUAACCUGUAAUAAUUCUUUGCGGGAUCAAUUCAUCUUUAUCAUUAGGAACGACAGUAAUACCUCCUUUCUUAGGAACGCAAUGGACAGGACUUACCUAAUCACUAUCAGCAACGGGAUAAAUUAUACCUGCCUCAAGGAGCUUUAGUAUCUCCUUUCUUACCACUUCUUUCAUCUUAGGAUUUAACCGUCGUUGAGGAUCUCUAACUGGUUUGGCAUCUUUCUCCACUUUUAUUUUGUGUUGGCAUAAAGUGGGACUAAUGCCCUUAAGAUCAUCCAGAGUAUAUCAAAUAGCAGCACGGUGCUUCUUCAGAGUUUUCAAUAAUCUUUCCUCUUCUUGCUCUGAAAGGUUAGCACUAAUAAUAACAGGAUAUAUUUUCUUUUCAUCAAGAUAAGCAUAUUUAAAAUUAUCAGGUAAAGGUUUGAGCUCAAACACGGGAUCACCCUUGGGUGGAGGAGGAUCCCCUAGGAUUUCAACAGGCAAGUUGUGUUUCAAAAUAGGACCCUAUUUAAGGAAUAAUUCAUCUAUCUCCCUUCUUUCAUUCAUGACCAUAUCAUUUUCAUGGUCUAGCAAAUAUUGUUCUAACGGAUCAGUGGGAGGCACGGCAAUAGAAGCAAGACCAAUAAUUUCAUCCUUACUAGGUGAUUCUUUAUCACGGGGUUGUCUAUGAAGCUUAGCAAAAUUAAACUCAUGAGACAUAUCCCCUAAGCCAAUUGUAACAAUAUCCUUUUCACAAUCAAUCCUAGCAUUAACAGUAUUCAAGAAGGGUCUACCAAAUAUAAUGGGACAAAAGUCAUCUUGUGGGAAACCAAGAACAAGAAAAUCAGCAAGAUAUUUAACUUUCCCACACAAGACUUCAACAUCUCUAAUAAUCCCAAAUGGCUUAAUAGUAUCUCUAUUGGCAAGCUUAAUUGUAACAUCAAUAUCUUCUAACUCAGCAGGUGCAAUAUCAUGUAUAAUUUCUUUAUAUAAGGAAAAAGGUAUUACACUAGCACUAGCACCCAUAUCACAUAAGCCAUGAUAACAAUGAUCCCCUAUUUUAACAGAAAUAACAGGCAUGCCUACAACAGGUCUAUGUAUCUUAGCGUCUGGCCUAGCAAUAUUAGCAGUUUCACCACAGAAGUAAAUAACAUGCCCAUCUAUAUUAUCAUCCAAGAGAUCUUUAACUAUAGCAAUACUAGGUUCAACUUUGAUUUGCUCAGGGGGUGUAUAAGUUCUAGUAUUACUCUUACGAACAACAGUUGAAGCUUUAGCAUGAUCCUUUAUCCUAACAGGGAAAGGUGGUUUCUCAACAUAAGUAGUAGGAACAAUAGGAUCAUUAUAAGUGAUAGUCUUUUCUUCAACUGUAAUAGGUGCAACUACCUUUACUUCAGUGGGAGGAUUAUAUUUAAACCAGUUUUCCUUAGGGAGAUCAACGUGAGUAGCAAAAGAUUCACAGAAAGAAGCUACUAUCUCAGAGUCAAGUCCAUAUUUAGCGCUAAAUCCACGAAAAGCAUCGGUAUUCAUAGAAGAUUUAACACAAUCAAACCUGGGUGUCAUACCUGACUCCUUACCAUCGUAGGAACCCCAAUCUUCAGAGUUGCAUUUAAUUCUUUCCAAUAAAUCCCACUUGAAUUCAGUAGUCUUCAGCAUAUAAGAACCAACACAAGAAGUAUCAAGCAUGGUGCGAUCAUUGAGAGAAAGCUGAGCAUAAUUUUUUUGAAUAAUCAUAUCUCUUGAGAGCUCAUGAUUGGGGCAUGAAUAUAACAUUGACUUAAGCCUCCCCCAAGCUUGAGCUAUGCUUUCUCCUUCGCGAGGCCAAAAAUUAUAUAUGUAAUUACGAUCACGAUGAACAAGAUACAUAGGAUAGAACUUCUGGUGAAAUUCCAACUUCAAUCGUUUAUAGUUCCAAGAUCCAGUAUCAUCACAUAGCCUAUACCAUGUCAAUGCAUCUCCCUUCCAAGAUAAAGGGAAGACCUUCCUCUUAAAAACAUCAUCGGGUAUACCAGCAAGCUUAAAUAAUCCACAAACUUCAUCCACAAAUAUAAGGUGUAAAUCGGGAUGCAAUGUUCCAUCUCCUACAAAGGGAUUAGCUAGCAGUUUCUCUAUCAUACCCGAAGGAAUCUCAAAGUAAACAUUUUCAGUAGGUUCAAUACAUUGAGGAGCCACUCUUUGCUCUACUAGUCGGGCCGAAGAUACCCCGAACAAGCCCCUCAAAGGAUUAGUUUCCAUAGUAACAAGUGACAGAAAAUUUCAGCACACUAUAUAAAUGUUUCCUUACCAAGUUCCACUCACCAAAGGCGCUUCACUCACCGGCAAUGGCGCCAGAAAAGAGUCUUGAUGACCCACAAGUAUAGGGGAUCUAUCAUAGUCCUUUCGAUAAGUAAGAGUGUCGAACCCAACGAGGAGCAGAAGGAAAUGACAAUAGGUUUUCAGUAAGGUAUUCUCUGCAAGCACUGAAAUUGUAGGUAACAGAUAGUUUUGUGAUAAGAUAAUUUGUAACGGGUAACAAGCAAUGAAAGUAAAUAAAGUGCAGCAAGGUGUCCCAAUCCUUUUUGUAGCAAAGGACAAGCCUGGACAAUUUCUUAUAAUGAGAAAAGCGCUCCCGAGGACACAUGGGAAUUAUCGUCAAGCUAGUUUUGAUCACACUCAUAUGAUUCGCGUUCGGUACUUUGAUAAUUUCAUAUGUGGGUGGACCGGUGCUUGGGUACUGCCCUUUCUUGGACAAGCAUACCACUUAUGAUUAACCCAUAUUGCAAGCAUCCACAACUACAAAAGAAGUAUUAAGGUAAACCUAACCAUAGCAUGAAACUAGUGGAUCCAAAUCAGCCCCUUACGAAGCAACGCAUAAACUAGGUGUCGGUGUCAAAACCGGCGGAUCUCGGGUAGGGGGUCCCGAACUGUGCGUCUAGGCGGAUGGUAAUAGGAGACAAGGGACACGAUGUUUUACCCAGGUUCGGGCCCUCUCGAUGGAGGUAAAACCCUACGUCCUGCUUGAUUAAUAUUGAUGAUAUGGGUAGUACAAGAGUAGAUCUACCACGAGAUCAAGGAGGAUAAACCCUAGAAGCUAGCCUAUGGUAUGAUUGUUGUUCGUCCUAUGGACUAAAACCCUCCGGUUUAUAUAGACACCGGAGAGGGCUAGGGUUACACAGAGUCAGUUACAAUGGUAGGAGAUCUACAUAUCUGUAUCGCCAAGCUUGCCUUCCACGCCAAGGAAAGUCCCAUCCGGACACGGGACGAAGUCUUCAAUCUUGUAUCUUCAUAGUCUUGGAGUCCGGCCAAUGACGAUAGUUCGGCUAUCCGGACACCCCCUAGUCCAGGACUCCCUCAGUAGCCCCUGAACCAGGCUUUAAUGACGACGAGUCCGGCGCGCAUAUUGUCUUCGGCAUUGCAAGGCGGGUUCCUUCUCCGAAUAAUCCAUAGAAGAUUUUGAACACCAGGAUAGUGUCUGGCUCUGCAAAAUAAAUUCCACAUUCCACCGUAGAGAGAAUAAUAUUCACCCAAGUUCAAUAUGCUGAUGUAUUUCGUGGCAUGACGUCACACCACGUCCAAGCCUUUACUUGAAUCAUUUUUAUUGUUCCACCUCAGCGCGUUUAGCGAAGCGGUUUCCUUGGCACGUCUUGUCAAAGCAGAGAUCGUGACCCCUUAUUCCGGGAUUCUCAUCAAUACGGGCGUGGGUAACCCAACCGCGCCCGCUGGCUCGCCCCCUCCAUCGAAGGAGAGUCCCAAACGGUUACGGGGACGGCUCUUGGUAUUCAACCUCUUUAUAAUGAGACCAAGGCAUGUUCCUUUUCUUCAAUCUUCAAUCGAAUCUGCCCCUCGCCCCGAGUUCCAACACCCAGGGUUCCAGAUUUAGGCGCUUCGGACCUUCAACAAUGUCCGGCUCUGACCUACAGGGCCGGUGGAUGCCCUCUUCCGUCACGGAAGAAGAUGUGCUAAAGCUAAGAGACGCCAAGUAUCUAACUGGCGAAAUUUCGCAUAGGAUGCCCGUACAAGGGCAAGUUAUUCCCACUCCUGAGCCUGGUGAGAGCGUGGUGUUCAUGUCUCACUUCCGUCGGGGUUUAGGCUUCCCGAUGGAUCCCUUCGUGAGGGGGAUCAUGUUUUAUUAUGGGCUGGAAUUCCACGACUUGGAUCCGGAGUCCAUCCUCCACAUCUCAUCGUUCAUUAUCGUAUGUGAAGCCUUCCUCCACACCACUCCUCACUUCGGAUUGUGGCUCAAGACCUUCGACGUGGAGCCGAAGAUGAUCGAUGAACGAUAGGCAGAGUGCGGAGGGGCAGUUAUAAGCAAGAGAGCUGACGCUCCAUGGCCCGAGGGCUUUUUUCAAAAGGAGCUCGGUUUGUGGCAAUAGGAGUGGUUCUACAUCACCGCUCCCAGGGGCACCAGAUGGGUGGCGCCGCCUGCCUUUCGCUCGGGCCCUCCACAACGGCUGGUGUCAUGGGUCAACAAAGGGCUUGACUGGGGCCGUCCAAGGACAUGCCAUUAUUGCAGGGCCGUAUUCGAGACCUCCAAGAGAGGGAGAUCAAUCUAGUUGUGGUGGCGCAGGUCAUGCUGAUUCGGUGCCUUCUGCCCUGCAAACGCCGCCCCCUCCGCCUGUGGGAAUUCAAUCCGGAGGGACCGCAAGCUCUCCAACACUUCAUGGGUGCGAUGCCCGUGGAGAUGUAUAAACUGUUCUUCGGAUCACAAGAGAUGUGUCCGGACCUAACCGAGGACACAGGCCUGAGCUGCAAUCGCCCGGAUACCCAAGUAAGUAGUCCUAUGCCCGGACAUGCUGUCCAUACAUUUAUCAUAAACUUGCCCUUUAACCAGCUAUCCCUUGAACAGGAGUGGAUAGCAAAAGCAAAACUGAUACGGUGUCCGUCCCCCCUCCCUGAGAUCACGCCGGAUCCGGUGUUAAUCAAGAUGCUGGAGGUUGCGCCUUCGGAAGAGGGCGAGGGGGAAAACAGGAAAACUACCGCCUCCGCUAGGGAGGCUCUUAAGAAAGGGGGGAUCAAGAAUCCCUCCUUCCAGGGGGAGAAGAGGACCGCUUCUGAAGAUCCGGAGGCCAAGGCCUCAAAGCGGGGGAAGAAAUCUUCAGCAGAGGGACCUGCGCCAGGAGAAGCCCCGACUGCAUUGUUUCCCCAAGGGAAUCAGCCCUCCAGCGAGCCGUAAGUAGAAAGGGGAGUUUUGUAAUAAGGGACAUCCCUGUUUUUAUUUCUGAAUAUAACCAAAGUUUUACCUUGUAGUUCGGAUCUCAGCCCUUCUCAGCAAAGCUCAUCUUCGGGGGAUCUUCGUCCGGAGAUGAUGGAGAGCGAAACGCCUCCAUCUGCCGCACCGUCAGGCGGGGCGGACGACCCUGAGGUAUCGUCGCGGAGGGUCUCCCCGAGUCCAGCGGGGCCGGAGAGUUCGGCACCAACUGGUGUACGGCCGGAGGAGCUGAAGGAUCAGCUCGGGCGAGCGUCUAUCUCAGAAGAUCACCGUACGUUGAUGAGUACGGUGAUUGAAAGGAUUUCAUCCACUGAGAGCGGGUUGCAUGAGGCCGUCAGAAGUUUACUGACGGGGUUUGAGGUACGCGAAAAAUGAUAUACCUUUUGACAGUUUUGCGCAUAGAAUGCGCCCUGUAUAGAUAGUAGCCCCUGAGACUCAGUACGUUGUCAAAGGUGACAGCGUGCCGAGGAUCAUAGUCUCAGUUGUAAGAUGUCGCCUUUCCUAUAUAGGUGGCGGAGCGUUCAGUGGCCAGCCGGACUGAUGGAUUUGCCGAACUGAAGCGGCAACUUGACGUUGCGGAUGUGGACAUCGCGCUGGUCAAUAAGCGACUUGACGAGUCACAAGGUAUGUGGCUUCUCCGCGGACGCCUUGUAAGGGAGCUUGACGCUCGUGCCUUACGACGUGUAUGCUUAAUGCAGAUGGCGCCGCUGCUAUGGAGGACCUUCGGGCAGAGCUUGCCCGAGCCAAGGAGCAAGCCAGGAAAAGUAAUGUGGCUGCCUUGAAGGCGGCCGAAGAGCUAAAAGCCGAACAGGCUGCUCACUGCCGAAGCAGGGAGGAAAUGGCCGAAAUGGCCGUGAAGCUGAAGGAUGCUACCGACCGCUAUGAGUUUCUUGAAAGAGAACGCCGAGCGGAGCAAGAGGACCUGAAGAAGGCCACCGCCGAAGCCAAGGAUGUCCGCUCCGCGAUGAGGGCUAUAAAGGAGGAGCUACGUCAGGCCAGGGAUAUUGCGGCUGGAAAGCCUUUUCUGCUGCGUAGGAAAUUCACGGAUCCGAAGUAUGCUCAGUUAGGCCAGUUGUGGGGUGCGGAGGAUGCUUAUCUAAAUUUGGCAGCGAGUGCCGCAGACGUGGUCGCACACUUCCGGGGCCAAAAGGAUCAUGGAAUGGAAGAGCUUUUUUGGUCGCAAUUCCAUAGUCCGGAGCGUCCACUUCCGUUAACUGAUCGGUUAGCCAAGUGGGCUGAGCUGAAUAGGUUGUCCGGACUUGCCAUGAAAGAUGUCGUGGCUCAUUUGUGGCCGGAAAGGCCCGAGCCGAAGACUUAUUUUGGCUUGGUGCAGCAGUUCCUUGAUGCAGUGCCGCAUAUCAAGGCGAUGAAGCGGUCGGCAUGCAUAGAGGGUGCACGGAUGGCUCUCGCCCGUGUCAAAACAUACUGGACGGAGAUGGAGGCCACCGACGUUGCAUCCCAGGACUCGGACAAAAGCCGAUUACCAGCCGAGCACUAUUUUGAGGAAGUCCUACAGGGCGCUCGUUUAAUAGAGUCGCAGUGCUCGAAAAAUGUUAUGUUCAAAUGACAUGUAUGAUUUGUGAAACCAUGUUUCAAAUAUAAUAUAAGGCCUUUUAUACUUGGGCAUUCAAGUGUUGAAAUACCUCCUGUGCGCCAUUAACGUAUAUGUGUAUAUAACCUGAAAGAUGGCAGUCUUCGACUUCAGCCCCCAUGCACAUAGUGCGGGGGUGUUUGCAAAAAAAGUGCAUUUUCACACUUAAUCCAACGUCUUGGUCCUGUGAAGGAGGUGAUAGCGUAGAAAACUAGGCAACCGGACUAUAAUGCUUUAUCACUUUCACUUAGCCAUAGGAGUUCGAUGGUGGGGCUACUAUAUAGCCCCCAGGUGCACUGCACUCUCCGAAUUUCGGGGCGCGUAUGUGCCUGACCGGGAAAUGGUCCUUCGUUAAAGCGGAUGAAUUCUAAACAUUCCGUUGGUCGAUUGAGUGGUUGACCAGUCUCUCGCUAUAUCAUGACAGUCAGUUUUCGGCUUUCUCUACUGAGGUGCUCACCUGGAUGAACCGGGGCACAAUCGUAGUAGUUCUCCUGGUGCCGCGUUAGCCGAUAGAGCGGAACGUAAGGCAACAAAACACAGGAGCCAGGCAAACCCAACAUUUGACCAAAGACAUGAUUCGGAGCUGAUGCAUAUAAGGCCUAACUCGAGACGCCGAACACUCCCUAAGGUAUUUGGUCUUUAUGAAAACGGGCAGAACAAUGCCCUAAGCCCCUAGUGUCCAGGUACGCGCAAAAAUUUCUGACGCCACUGAUGCCAAAACACCAGAUUCCUCCUUGGUUAUAGCAAAAAACCGGGGGAUGUGUAUCAACAAGAGAUAGUAAAAAGGGUUUACGCAGGGUCUUAAUCUAAAAAGAAUCCUUGCAACGGGUCCCUACUGCACGUCUGCGCCUGUGUCUCCGUUGUGCCGUAUCCUGGACGUGUGUCGCACGGUGUUCAUCUGUAAAAGAGGAGAACUUAGUUGAAAAAGAGUCUGUGCGAAAGAUGUAUUUUGAAAUAAACAGAGUAUGAUUCAAAGAAUGAAUAAAAUUGAGAUUUAUUAUCUCUUUUUGUGCAUGCGUGGAGCCCCUUGUAAAGGGGUACGCGGCUAGUAAGCCCCUUGUUUAUUUAUACCGGACUCGCCUAACCGUGUCCGUGGUCUUGAAUGACCUAUUUAGGGGCUUUGAUCAGCAAAGCCGGAUUAGUGUGUGGCUGUCAAGGCAGUCUCACGUUCUUCCGUAGUCGAGGAACACUCGAAGUUACCCUUUAAUGAGAUGAUGUCGCGUGGACCGGGCAUUUUGAGUGUAAGAGACGCGUAAUGCGGUAUUGCGUUAAAACGGGAAAAAGCUUCGCGUCCCAAUAGUGCUUGAUAGCUACUUUUAAAUGUGGCGAUGUGGAAGAUUAACUUUUCGCGACGGAAGUUGUCAGAUGAGCCGAACACAACUUCUAGUGGUAGAGAGCCCGUACAAUGGGCAUAUUGGACUGGCAUCACUCCUUUAAAGGAAGUGUUGCUAUGGCGUAUUUUGGUUGGGUCUAUCCCCAUUCUGCGGAUUGUAUCCUGAUAUAGCAGGUUUAGAUCACUACCACCGUCCAUUAGGACCUGUGUAAAUUGUAGUCCGUUGAUUACAGGAUUUAAUAUCAAAGCAGUCCAUCCUGCGUUCCGGAUAUUCCCGGAGUAAUCCUGAUGGUCGAAAGUGAUUGGUUUUGACAUCCAGUGUCGGGACUCUGCUGGGGUGGACCGUGCGGUGCGUACUUUAAUGGGCGCCGCUCUAUUUUUUGCUGUUGUCACUUGAAGUGAAUUUACUGUUUUGACCUCUUAUGGGAAAUCCUUUUGUUUUCCGGUGCUCUGCUUGUGAGGUUCGUCAUCGUCCUCACUUGGUGUGUCUAGCCUCUUGUGUUCGGCGUUAAGUCGGCCGGACUGCUUGAAGACCCAACAAUCUCUGUGGGUAUGGUUUGCAGGCCUCCUGGGGGUACUGUGGAUUUGGCAUAUCUUGUCCAAGAUUUUGUUUAGGUUGGAUAACUCGUCGCUGUUCUCCUUGAGAGGCAGUUUUUUGUUGUUCUACCGAGAGCUUUUGAAUCCGACGUUGACUGUCGUGCUCUUUGGACCAUUUCCUUUAGUCCGGUGCUGGUCCUUGUUGCGCCAUGGUUUCCCAUUUUCAUCUCUGACCUCGGAUGUACUUGGGUCGCUGGUGCUACAUCUUGCCAGCCAGCUAUCCUCUCCCACGCAAAAGCGGGUCAUGAGGCUUAUUAGUGCGGCCAUUGUUCUUGGCUUUUCCUGGCCGAGGUGUCUGGCGAGCCAUUCGUCUCGGACGUUGUGCUUGAAAGCUGCUAAGGCUUCAGCGUCCGGACAGUCGACUAUCUAGUUCUUUUUGGUGAGGAACCUGUUCCAGAAUUUGCGGGCUGACUCUCCGAGCUGUUGAGUUAUGUGACUUAAAUCGUCUGCAUCCGGAGGGCAGACGUAAGUCCCCUGAAAAUUUGCCCGAAAUGCGUCCUCGAGCUCUUCCCAACUUCCAAUGGUAUUUUCUGGGAGGCUUUUGAGCCAGUGCCGGGCUGGCCCUUUGAGUUUGAGGGGUAAGUAUUUUAUGGCGUGGAGGUCAUCUCCUCUAGCCAUAUGUAUGUGCAGGAUGUAAUCCUCAAUCCAGACUCCAGGGUCUGUUGUUUCGUCGUACGCCUCUAUAUUUACGGGCUUGAAUCCCGUUGGAAAUUCAUGAUCCAGCACCUCAUCGGUGAAACAUAGGGGGUGUGCGGCGCCCCUGUAUUUGGGUGUGCCGUGAUUUUCAAAUACUCGACGUGUUGUGUUACCUUCUGGAGCUUGCUUUCUUGGCCCAUAGAUGGAUCUAACCGGGCCAUCCUUUUUGCGAGGAUCCUUAUGUGGAUCGCGUGCCGAUUUGUGUGCGGUGUCGCUUGCCGCUCUUUGUUUGUCAUGUGGUCAUUUAUCCGACCGGGCGGCCUCUUUCUUUUUUGAUUUUUAGGGCUCUACGGCCUCCUCGUCAAACUCGGGCAACAGUUUGCGCUUCGGGUAGCUCUUUGCUUGGCGACUAUCGCCGUAUUUGUCUGCGGUCUUGAGUACUUUGCUCCAUCUCAUUCUGAGUACGUCUUCCGCUGUUUUGAGCUUCCGCUUUUGCUUCUUCAGGCUUCGUGCAGUGGCGAUGAGCCUUUUGUGGAGGUUCUUCUGCUCCAACGAUGUGUCCGGCGUGAGAUCAUCCGGACUGUUGUUUUCGUCGGAGAUGGGUUGCCUCUCCAAUUCAUCCUGUUCGGAUGGUUGCUUGGGGGCAUGUUCGUCGUCCACUGGUUCGCCCUGCUCUAUGGCUGGGUCUUCAUGGGUGCUGCCGCUGUCGAGGUGGGACUUUGGGCGGCGCUUGCGUCGCCGUUUUGGCUGUUUUUCGAGGGAAUUUUCCUUCGCAGCGUCCCGUUGUUUCUCGUUAUCGCUUCCUUUGGGUGUAUCCACCAUAUAUAUAUCGUGAGUUGAGGUGGCUUUCCAGUGCUCUAUGGGCGCUGGUUCUUGGUCGUCUCCGGCAUCGUCGUCCAUACCAUCGAUAUCUUCGGAGUCGGGAUCUAGCAUGUCGGUUAGAUCCUCGACAGUGGCUACAAAGUGGAUGGUGGGUGUGCUUUGAAUUUCUUCGUCGUCCACAUCCUAACCGUCCUGACCGUAGUCCGGCCAGGGCUCUCCUGAUAACGAGAGAUACUUUAGCGAAUUCAGGAUGUCACCAAAAGGCGAGUGCUGAAAGAUGUCCGCAGCGGUGAACUCCAUGAUCGGCACCCAGUCGGAUUCGAUUGGUAGGGGCGCGGGAGGUUUGGACUCCGGCGAGGAGUCCGUCACCUCGGAGUCACGAGCUUCACAAGGGACAGGGUCGGUAUUCGGCUCUAUCGCCAUAGAGGUAGCAGCCCCCGAGGCGGUGUCUAGGCACCCAUCCUCGAUCGGCGCAGUCGGCUCCGAGUUAAGGGUCGAAGCUGACUCUUGUGCGGCCUCCAGGGCAUUGUCCGGCAGCAGAGCUAGGUUAUGCCCAUCGUGACAGUGUGGCGCGCUCGGCUGUGGCUCGAAUCCGUCGAAGAUCAAGUCUCCGCGGUGUCGGCUGUGAAGUUCAAAUUUCCAAAUCUGACCUGAUGCCCAGGGGCGUAGCUUUCGAUCUGCUCCAGACGGCCAAGCGAAUUGGUCCGCAGUGCGAAGCCGCCGAAUACAAAGAUCUGUCCGGGGAGAAAAGUCUCACCCUGGACCGAGUUGUUGUUGAUGAUCGAAGGAGCCAUCGGGCCUAUGAGUGAUGACACAGAGGAACUCUCAAUGAAAGCACUAAUGUCGGUGUCAAAACCGGCGGAUCUCGGGUAGGGGGUCCCGAAUUGUGCGUCUAGGCGGAUGGUAACAGGAGACAAGGGACACGAUGUUUUACCCAGGUUCGGGCCCUCUCGAUGGAGGUAAAACCCUACGUCCUGCUUGAUUAAUAUUGAUGAUAUGGGUAGUGAGUAGAUCUACCACGAGAUCAAGGAGGCUAAACCCUAGAAGCUAGCCUAUGGUAUGAUUGUUGUUCGUCCUAUGGACUAAAACCCUCCGGUUUAUAUAGACAGCGGAGAGUGCUAGGGUUACACAGAGUCGGUUACAAUGGUAGGAGAUCUACAUAUCCGUAUCGCCAAGCUUGCCUUCCACGCCAAGGAAAGUCACAUCCGGACACGGGACGAAGUCUUCAAUCUUGUAUCUUCAUAGUCUUGGAGUCCGGCCAAUGAUGAUAGUUCGGCUAUCCGGACACCCCCUAGUCCAGGACUCCCUCACUAGGGUUUAAGCUUCUGUCACUCUAGCAACCCAUCAUCUACUUAUUACUUCCCAAUGCCUUCCUCUAGGCCCAAAUAAUGGUGAAGUGUCGUGUAGUCGACAUUCACAUAACACCACUAGAGGAGAGACAACAUACAUAUCAUCAAAGUAUCGAACGAAUACCAAAUUCACAUGACUACUAAUAGCAAGACUUCACCCAUGUCCUCAGGAACAAACGUAACUACUCACAAAGCAUAUUCAUGUUCAUGAUCAGAGGAGUAUUAAUAUGCAUUAAGGAUCUGAACAUAUGAUCUUCCACCAAGUAAACCAAUUAGCAUCAACUACAAGGAGUAAUCAACACUACUAGCAACCCACGGGUACCAAUUUGUGGUUUUGGAUACAAGAUUGGAUACAAGAGAUGAACUAGGGUUUGAGAGGAGAUGGUGCUGGUGAAGAUGUUGAUGGAGAAUGACCCCCUCCCGAUGAGAGGAUCGUUGGUGAUGACGAUGAUGAUGAUUUCCCCCUCCCGAAGGGAAGUUUCCCUAGCAGAACAGCUCCGCCGGAGCCCUAGAUUGGUUCCGCCAAGGUUCCGCCUCAUGGCGGUGGAGUUUCGUCCCGUAAGCUUGCUUGUGAUUUUUUCCAGGAUAAAAGCCUUCAUAUAGCAGAAGAUGGGCACCGGAGGGCCACCAAGGGGCCCAGGAGACAGGGGGCCCGCCCAGUAGGGGGGGCACCCUCCUGGCCAGGGUGUGGGCCCCCUCUGGUAUUUUCUUCGCUCAAUAAUUCUUAUUAAUUCCAAAAGUGACUUCCAUGGAGUUUCAGGAUUUUUGAAGCUGUGGAGAAUAGGUUUCAAAUAUUUGCUCAUUUUCCAGCCAGAAUCCCAGCUGCCGGCAUUCUCCCUCUUCAUGGUAAACCUUGUAAAAUAAGAGAGAAUAGCCAUAAGUAUUUUGACAUAAUGUGUAAUAACAGCCCAUAAUGCAAUAAAUAUUAAUAUGAAAGCAUGAUGCAAAAUGGAUGUAUCAGUCCACUCCAUACGUUCCGCUCCCCCACGUCGAAUUAAAUUCCACUUCAACUAAAGAUAAUUGACGAGGUAGUAUGAAUGUUGCUUUGUUGUGAUGAUGAGACAAUUCAACAAUUCCCCUUGGAUUGUAAAUUAGCUUGUUUUGUUGGCACUGAAUCGAUGUUGCUUCGAACUUGCUAUUUUCCCACCCCCAUAGUAUCUGUCAUUUUUUUUCUUAUAAAUUGACCAUUUGUGGGUAAGUGGGUUUGCUUGCUCGUUAAAUUGUAUGUGUCGCCUUUUGCUGAUCGUGGCUAUGUAGGGAUGGCAUUACUUUCGAACAAAAAAAGAUUCUCCAAUCCGUUGCAGGUUACCUACUUAUGUGUUAACUAUCACAGUCUUGAUUUUUGUUGCAUUGACAUUAGUAGUAUUAUUAUUUGAUAGCUUGUGUUGCCCAAAGGAAUGUCAAUUGUCAGGGCUAUAUGUGCCUAUUUGGCUGCUUCCUUGUGACAGCCUGGUUUUUGCCUUCUCCCUUUUCCGGAUUUCUUUGCCUUUGGAUUUGCAGUUGAGUUUUUGAAUCAACUCAUUUGGACUCUCACACUUGGGCAUGUCCUUGAUUUUCACCCAAGUGACCCACCUCUCUCAUAAUCAUCAUUUCCUCUCUGAAAUAUCUCAAAAUGGCCCAAGGAAUAUUUUUCAUAAAUGAAAAAUAUUCAUUUUCUCCUCUGCCUAAUACUUCAGCAACAUAUGCUCCAAAGCAACCCUCAUUUUUAUUGCUCCUAAAAUUCUGAGAAAAUUCCCAAAUAUUCUUUGAACCUUGGUACACCUCCCUGUGCAAAAAUAUUUCAUGCUUAUUUGGAAUAUUUUUUCUACAGAAAAUCAUUUCUGUUCUGGCCUCAUAAUGCAGUUUCUACAGCAAGUGUAUUUUUCCUUGCUCUAAUGAAGCUGGGUUUUCUUGAGCUUGUUUACCCUCCUAAGAAAACCUUAACCCCAGAGAAUUAACCCUAAUAUCCUUCUAGAAGCUAGCCAAAUACAGUGCCAAAGUUUUUGACCAAAAACUUGCUCGAUAGCUCAUGUCUACUCUGGUUGGCCUGGCAGUGUAUGAUUUCUUCCCCUAGACUAAACACUACACGGACAACAUGAGAGACAAGGUUUGGCAUCGCGUGGCCAUCGUUUUGACCAUGCCAGCAUGGUGAUCACGUGAAGACACGGCCUCUGGCAUGCGUUCGAUGCGCUCUGUGCUGCGCUUGCGCUUCUGUAUAUCUCGUGCUCGACUCAGAGCUCACCGACGACUGCCGCACCACGCCACCUCCUUUGUCUCUUCUCCCUUGACCACUCGCUGGCGCUCGCCGAUGCCGGAGUCACCGCAACGGGCAUGGGCACGAUGCGGCCAAAGCCACAGUGCGCCCGUGCCACUGUCUUCAUCCGCGCGCCGCGCUCCUAUGCUCGUCCGCACACUCCACAGUCCCCGCAUGAAUGUUGAACCCCUCCACCCCUCGCUGACACCGCUCAUCAUCGCUCGCCGGCUUCUAGAGAGCUUUGGCGGAGCCAAGACCCCUCUUCCCCCUCCGCCUAUAAAUAGCGAGCCCCCUGGCCUCUCCAACCCAUCCAACCACUCCACCAGCCACCACACGAAGUAGAGGGAGCCGUAGCCCGGCCGGGCAGGCCUCGGGCCGCCGUGCUCAAGCUCGAGCUCGCCGACGAUCCCCUCUGCUCGCCCCCGUCCCUCCACUCCACCUCAAGCUCAACGGACUUCUCCGGCGACUCCUUGGAGGUCCUGUGGUGCCUGCUGACGCUGCUGGAGCCCCUGGAACUGCCCCUCUCCAUCAUCUUCUUCUUCUCCAACGAGUCUCGACCGCAGCCGCUGCUUGGGAGCUUGAUUCUGAGCUGCUCCGGUCACAGCUUGUCAAGCCACGGGUACAGGUAGGUGCGCCUCAACCCCCUCCUGCUUUCCCUCCCUCUCAAACCAGCCAAGAACCCCAGCUCGCCGGCGUGAGCUCCGGCGAAGUGCCGCCUCUACUCUGUUUCUCUCCCUCUCUCUCCACACCCGACAGGUGGGGCCCGUUGUCAGUCUCUCCACUCGCGCCCGAAGUGGUGCGAGUGGAGGCAUAUUCCAAAAAUACGCGUUCGACGUCACCCCCCUGGAAUUCUGUUAUUUGAUUUUAAUUUAAAUAUUUUUACAGAAACUUUGCACAUCCAGAACUUUUAAACCCUAAGUCCAAAUGAAUUGAUUCUUUCUGCAUUGUGUUCAUAUUGAAGAGAUCUAGCAGCACACCAAACUUGAGAUUUUUCUAUGCUGUCUAGAUUUUCUGGUGAAUUUCAAAAGGGUUCUUGAUAUUUCUUUGUGCUGUUUUUAAAUAUUUUCAGAGGGAGAAACUUGUCUUGAAGAUAACCAGGAGGAGUGUGAACCUCCUCUGCACUAAGGCAAGCCACACCAACAUUUGCAUGGUGUCACUCCAAUAUUUGUGAUUUUUCCAACUUUAAUAUGAGUAAUUUCAUGCGUUUAAUUAUUUACAUGAAUAUUGCUCAUGCUAGUUAUUUUGUCAUGAUUGAAAUGCUUAGUUUACAGUAAGAUUUGCAUGCAUGGACUAGUGUGAGGCAGUAGAGGUAGUUUUGUUUGUGUGGUGAUGAUUUGGUUAUGAUCGGUAAUAUUUUUCAUAUAGAGUUUUUGAGUUUAAUAUGAGAAUAACAUGAUUAAAAUGAUGAGUGCUAAAACCAGUAUACUAAAACCAGUGAAGCCUAAUGAUGACUAGUGCAAGUAGAAAACUUGAUGAUGUUGAUCUCUUUACUUGAAGUGAUAUGUGAUGCAUGUCGAAUAGUUGCAUGUUCAUGGCAUAUUGUGACUCGGGUUGAUUUCAUAUCAAGUUAAAUCUGAUGCUAAUCCAAUUUGAACAUAAUGUUGAUCGAGUCAUGGUGCCACUGAAUCGAGUUUUUCCCAGUGCAACCACAUUUGCCUUUAUGGGAAGGCUUUUAUUCGGUCCAUUGUCAUGCCUCUGGUCAGUACCUCCAUCGAGGGAAGGUUAUGGGCGUGCGGUACUCUGGCCCGGUAAGCAGACAUAACCUUGUGUGCCUGUUUGUUGAUAUGGUACCUUGUCCCCGUUUGGGACCGUUUGUUUUGCCACAACAGUGGCCGUUGAUGCCUUUGGUAGGCACGGGGCCACCCAUGACUUAGCCCAUAGGGGAGUUGGUCGGAGUGGCCGGGAGAGUGUCAUAGCAAUGGGAGGGUUUCGUCGGAAUGUCGUUGGUCCACCCGAAUGGGAGUGCGAGGCCAUGGAUUCCGUGGUGUGGGUACAGUGUACUAUCUCUGCAGAGUGUUUAUUAAUCUAUCGAUAGCCGCGUCCUCAGUUAUGGAAAUAGCUCGUGAGUAAGUCACGCCAUGGAUCAACAUGAUUAAGUAAUCUUGCACACUAAGUUUUUAUGCUUGGCACUGGGUAUUUGAUGAGAUUUGUGUGACCAUGGAGAUGAUCAGUAUUUGUGGGGACCGAAGUGUUUGUUCAAUUGUGAUCCGGGAGUGAUCACCUUUGAUGAGGUUAGUUACGAGGUAACCCGUAUGGUAAGAGAGUCCGAGGGACUCGGUGCAUAAGUUUGGCUUCACAGCAUCUGUAGCAUGUUAUCACAUUGCAUUUAACCUGAUUAAUUGUCAUGAUAUUGUUUGCCAUUGUGCUUAUGCUUGUUGUGAGCUUGCAAGUACAUUCAAUGUACUGACCUGGCGUGUCAUGCCAGCUUUCAGGAAAGUCUCACCGGAUCGGAGUGCUUUGCGAGUCUAGAUCGUGUCCACAUCGGUGUCCCUGUGCUAUGGAGUUCCGCUGCGUCGUCGUUCCGCUGCCACGUAGUUAUCAUGAUCGAGGCCCCUUCAUGUUCAUUAAAUAAUGUACAUAUUGUUCAGCCGCACCGUGUGUGCCGCUUGGCCUUGCAACUUGAUGUAAUACCGAACCUAUGUUUCCGCUAGCUUCAAUAAAACGGUUGCUUUUUGUACCAUGUUGUUGUGUGUUGCCAGAAAACUUGAUCUCUGGGCUAGCAAUACAAGGUAAACAGGUUGCUCUGAGCCAGGUAGGGCUGGAUUAACGAGCUGCUCGGCUCGUUCGGCUCGUUAUCAUUAAGCUCAUUAUCAUUAAGCUCGUUAUCAUUAAGCUUGUUAAAAUUAACGAGCUAAAACCUCUGUUCAGCUUGGUUCGUUAUGGGCUUGUUAUGCUCAUGAGUGUUCACGAGUGCUCGUUAAGGUAAUAAACAAUACCAAAUAAUCCCAUGAUCCAAUAAAACAAUCACAAUAGAAUAAGUUAAACAAGGAAUUAAGAUAAUAAACAAUAUAGAAGAAUCCCAUGAUCCCAUCAAAAAAUCACAACAACAUAAAUUAUGACAUUCGGUUCCUAGCGGCUGGCUCCUGGUUGACUCUAUGGUCUCCUUGCGGCUAGCUCCUAGGUCUACGAGAAGUGCUGAAGUGGGCUGGUGUGCUAUGCCCCUAAGCUGGGCUAACUAGCAACUCUUUUGUUAGUGGGCCGAUUUGAACUAGGGUCCUCAUGUCAAACUUUUGAAAAUUAGUGAGCUAAACGAGUUAGCUCGUGAAACUCGUUUGCUUCCUCGUUAAGCUCGUUAAUCUUAACGAGCAAAAAACACUCUUCGGCUUGGUUCAUUAACUAACGAGCACGAGCCGAAACAAGCCGAACUAUCGAGCGCUCAAUAUCCUCGCGAGCUUCGAGCUUUUCGUCCAGCCCUAGAGCCAGGGUGCCACAUUCCUUUAGCAUGAUUGAUGUUUAGCAUUAUGAUUUUUUACUUGCCACUUGCUUCGUCACUUGGUAGCAUCCUUUCUGGCAAUUCAGCUCCUUACAAGUAUAAUACAACACACAUGAAACAUGCAUAACAUGUACUUAGCAAGCGACAACUGUUUCUUUCAGCAUUGCAUUGAUCAUCUACCAUCUCAUGUCUUGCCACACAUGAAUAACUCGUUGGCCGAUAAGCUAGUUCCUACCUCAUGCAUGGCCUUAUUUGUUCCGACCGAGGCCUCACUGGAAUUGAGUAAAAAAGAACUAAUUUGUGUCCAUCAUUCGAAUUGAGUCACUAGUUUGUCACACGGCCUGUGCAAGUAUUUUCGGCCAAGUGAUCAUACAUGUGUUGUGGAAUAUUUGAAAGGAGCGGAAUAGGUGGAUUUUCAACGACACCUCCCAAUCCGUGCAUGACAUUGCUUUUCUAGUCAUGAAGGAUAUUAACCAAAUGCAAUUAGCCCUUUGUUACGGAGAUGUAAUAGCUGGUGCAGUUUCUUUCUUCCUUCUUAUUUGUCACAUAAAUAACUUCUAUAUUCCUCUUCCUAUCUUAAUGAAAUGGCCAGAGCACUUGCCUCCCAAGCCCAAGAAAAAAAAUAGGUGUUUGUCUAUCACUAUAUAUAUAUCCAUUAAAAAGCUAUACUGAAUCAUGUUCUUGUAUACAUUCCUAAAGAGCAUGAUUGGGCAAGGCAUAUCUACUCCUUGAUCCCUGCUUCCCUUGUUGCUGCUCCGUCCUUGAUGGAUUGAAGAACUGCCUUUAGUUUGCCUGCUUUUCUUGCACUAUUGCUGGAGCUAGAGUCUAGACAGCAUCACUACAUGAGAACAUCCUCAAUCAAACCUUUAUUUUGUUUUCCUUUGCCCUUGUGUCCUCGUCGGCGUGUCGAUCAAUCGUUCACUCGCUGGGGAAGGUAGACACUAAAGUUUGAUGCAUAUGUGAAUCCCUGGUCAAAGAUUCAUUCAUCUUUGUUGCGCUACCAAAAGAAGCUAGGAUCUUUAAGUUCAAUCAGGCUCCCACUCAAGUUGGAUGGUGCUCUAACUUUUUUUGCUCUGAUCUUGGAACAGAAAGAGAACUCGAUACAUUUUGCAUGGGCAAUUGUUUUCCAUCGCUUGCAUCACUGGCAAGUAUACUAGCCUUCACACCUAUCGGUCUUUCUUCUUUAAGGCUAUGGUAUGAGCUAACCUACAUUGCCUAGAUAGCAUUUGUAAAAUGUGAUGCAUAGCUUUUCUCCCCACUGAAAUGUGCACAGGUGCCAUGCCUAGCUAGCAAAGCGAGCAAGGCCUAUAAUGCAAAAGAAGGGUGCAGUAGUCUCAAACUAGAGAGGCAUAUCAUAGGGCUCAUUGGCUUGUCUGAUUCCAUUUGAGAUGGCCUCUUUAUUUCCCUGUCACGGGAAAGAUUCAUGAAUGGUCGGGGCGGCAAAGUGCAGUCAGCGGCUAGCUAGCUGCUCGCUGUGCUCCAUCGUGCAUUACGCAAAGCGCAAGAGGCUGUCGAUCACAAAGAGCUCUUGGCCGCCAUUGGAGUGCUCCAACUAAAUACAGUACGUACGAAAGGCUCUUGUGAUAAACUAACACACAGUCCGUUGGGGUUGUAGUAUAUGAUUGGAACGGAUGCAUGCAUGAUUGGGCAUUGUCAUAAGAAACGCCUUGGCUUUGUACCAGUAGUACCUGCUGGUAUGGUUAUCAACUCGAUCACCCGCAAAAGAGCUCAACCACGUUCGAUCAGUUGGGAGCAACGGCUCACCCUGCGAGCUAGGUCGACGAACGAACGAGACAAACCGGACAAAGCCGUCGCGUAAAAUAAUUAAGCGGCUUUCCGCAAAGGCGAGCGAUAGAUUAAAGGUGCUGCCGACAACCGACGUACUCGCCGAUGAGAGGCUCAGAGGGCGACGAGAGAGAAAACAAACGGGCCGGCGCAUGCAGCCUUUCGUUCUGCUUGCGAGUCGCGUAAGAGAGAAAGAGAGAGAUGAACCGACGGAGAUUAAACAGGGUUCGAGCACAGCAACUCCCACGCGCCGAUUUCAAACAAACACACGUUUUUCCUUCAAAAAAAACAGACACACGUUUUAUCUAUUUGGAUCGGAAGAUUAAGUAGAGUUCGAGGCCACGGAACUAAGAGCAACUCCAACGUGCUGGGCCAAACGGACGCGUGUUUUAUCCGUUUGGGUCGGCUCGUUCGUCCCUUCUGCGUUUGGGUCGGUCCUGCGUCCAAUCGGCCGAUCCAAUUCUCGUCCAUGCAAAAAACAAUCUGAAUUAAAAAAAGACCCGUCGCCAGAGAUCACGCAGUGGUCAUGCCAUCACACAGAGUUCAUGCUCGCGACAUGCCAGCUGCCGGCAUACAUGCAAGCCUAAAAAAAGCAAGCACUUCAUGCUGACGUACUUGCCAGCGACCGGCACACUUGUCAGCACAUAAAAAGGGCCAGGAGUUCAACCACGCCAUCUCGGCCGUGGACAUGCCGGCAUACAAAAAAAAAAUGGUGCUCUCCACCAUAGACCAAUCAUCAAGCCUGAGCAUGUCGGCCUGCAUCCUCUCGAACCAAGGCCUCUUCCUCGGGGACACCGUGCUCAAGUCCACUUUCAUGAUAUCCACCCCCUUCAUCAUGCAAGCGAGCACCACUUCUUUUGCUUUGGUCUUGGCAUUGUAGCCUCGAUCUUAAGCAUCUUCCUUUACUUCUCCGCCUCCAUCUCGAGCUUCUUCCUUUGUUUCUCCGCCUCCAUCUCGAGCAUCUUUCUUUGUAUCUCCAUGAAGGCCUUCAUUUGCUCUUCUUUGUCUUGCCGGUGCAUCUCCUCCCUUGUAUCCUUCAUUCCUUCUUGGUCAUCAUGCCUUCCAAAGUUGCAUGAUAGGAAAUCGAUGCGGCAUCACGCUUGUCCUCUUUCUUGGAGUUGGUCUUUCCCACGGCCGCAACUUCUCGCCUCACCAUGCGCCUCGACGGCUUUGUCCCCUCCACACGCCUUAAGGGUGGUAUAUUGCGCCUUGAACUUCUUGUCCCCGUUUAUGACCAUCCAACAAUGGGUGAGGUUGAACGACUUGUUCUCGUGUUGGGCCUUGAAUGCUUCCAAAGCUUGGAAUUCCUAUAGAAAAAUGGACAUGCAAUAUGGGCAAACGGACAUGCAAGCAUGAAACAAUGAAAACGAAGAUAAACGCAUAUACACCAUGUCUUUGAUGUCGAGGUCACUCACGGGGCGGCCCUGAUGCUCCCAAGGGUUUCACAAAACUUGUUGCACUCUUGUUGUAUCACUCUCCACGCUUCGAGAGGGACACCCACCCACGCUUGCUCUCCAUCUUAUACGGCGCGAACUUCUUGCGUUCGUGAAAUUCACGAUGAACUCGUAGCCAAAAGGUUGAUGCCUUUUGCUCGGGGCCGACCUUAGGGUCUUGUCCAAUGUCCCUCCAACAUUCACAAAGGAGUUUGUCCUCAUCCUUUACGUAUGCCUUCGUCCGAAUGCUUUGACGCUUCUUGUUUGCAUUGGCUUGGGCGGAGAGCUCGUCUUCGAGAAACAAGGGCUCCCCCUCGAUGUCCACUUCAUCUUCUUCUUCUAGGCCGUAGUCUUCCGGGAACUCAUGUUCUUGCGGAAAGUGUUGCCCAUGUCAUUUUGGCCUUGCAUGAAGGGGUUGGUCAUGCCUCCAUGGCCUUGAGCAAAGGUGUUGGUCGUGCCCUCGUGGUCGGCCAUGAAGGGGCGUCGGUCGUCUUGGCUUAGGGUCUCGUCGAGAUCGAAGGCCGCGCCACCCAAACCGCCUUUGAAGAUGAUGUUCUCAAUUGAAACAGUUGGUCGUCUCAUCGUCCGUGGCCGAUAUUGUGUCGAACAGGUUGCGAGCGUUGGGAUGCAUGUCGGAUGGGAUCUCCCGCGGGCGUUUCCUCUGCCCCCCACCGGCCACAAGUGUGGCGUUGAGGUCGAUGGCCAUGGGCGCAGGCAUGACCGGCGCGACCACACUCACCUUCAGCGAGCAGUGUUCGAAGGAACGGGGCGUCUGCGCGUUGUGGACGUGACCGGCGCGACCACACUCACCUUCCUCUUGGCCGACUGCAUGGCCCGCCGCGCAUCCGUCAACUCCUUUUUGGUUGGCGCCGCCGUUUUACAGGCGUUGCGGGGCUUGCCUUUGGCGGAGGCGAGGCCAGCGGCGGCGGCGAGGGUCGACGCGUCGUCCAUGGCGAGCGGCCGGGAGCGCGAGCGGGUAGGAGGUUUUUUGGGAAAGAGGGGAAAAUGGGGGUGGUUGUGCCGCCGGCUGGCGGGACAGGGGGGAGACUAGGUGGGCGUCACACGUGUCCGUUUCUUAUCUGCACCAACGCAAAUGCGUCCCAAAUUUAGGCCGGAAAUGAAUUGCGCGACGGACAAAAAGCAAACGCAUGCCUAUUUGGGUCACCGUGUUAGGCCGAUUUUUGUGUCCGUUUCGAUUGGAGGGCGGGGCGUUGGAGUUAGCUGUAAAGAGCAGCAGAGAUGGCGACCCCGAUGCGCUCGUGUGCGGUUGGUUGGACGAGCAGACUCAGCAGAGCAGUAGAGGAUAGCCAGGGCAGCAGCGCACAACACAAAUCUUGACAAGGCUAAAAAGUUUAAAUCGGAGACCUCCCAAGUCGUCGUAUGUAGCUCCACCGUGAUUCCAGAUUCUGAAUGAUCAAACACAUGGCACUAGGCCACUAACUACAGCCAUGUACCUCGGCAUUGUGUUGCACGUGGUGCACCUGAGCCCGUUAAGUAUACGUCCGCGAAAGUUCCUAGCGCAGCUGGCUUAUGCAUGUUUUGUGACACGUGUGCAGACCGCGUACCCGUCGGGAAGGAUGUGCGCUCUUCUGCCACAUGUUUUGUUUUGUGACACAUUCUAAUUCCAUUGAAACAUGAGUAUGAGAGCCAACACCUUCUCUUUUCGCGGGUGAAAUCAUUCCUUGAAGACCGGUAUCUGCAUUUGUUGUUUUGGUACGAUUCAUCCGUGGAAUGGAACCAAGAUGCUCGGUGCUAUGUGUGAGCGGGUCAGUUUGUGUGUGUGUGCGCGCGCGCUCGCACGCUUCACACACGAACAUGUCACCAUAUCACCCUUGGCGUCGAGCACGAUGCACAUGGCACGUCUUCGGGAGCAUGGUGCGGAAGAUAUAUUGGCGAGGUCUUUUGAAGAUUCGAAACCGCACACACCCGGAGGAAACCCGUCAAGAUGUGCGGUCGUUAUGCGCUGCCCUAUAUAUGAGACAGAUGGACUUCUUGUACAAAAAAAUGACUUAAAUUUUCUUCCAACAAGUCAACAAACGGACGAGGAUCCUCUACCGUACGGUAAGGUGCCGUUUGACCACUAACAUGUGGGCCCGCUGGGAACAUAGCCCACAUUUCAGUGGCCCAACGGUAUGCACCGUACGUCAAGGGAGUUGCUUCUGCCAACAAACCUUGUCCGACUCAGUCGAAAAAAAUAUGCUUAUGUUAAGAUCGAGCAUAGAGUCGAAAUAUUGGACAUAAGUAAGAACCCUUAUGUUAAAGUCAGGUACUGGGUCGAAUAUUUAGUCGAAAUGUUUGACAUGAUUUUUCAAGCUUCUGUGCUUGAGCUUGCUUCGGAUUUAUAGGUUCCAUAUGACACUGGAUUAAGAUGAUUCAGUCUCAGACAAGACUAAGAACUUUCAUGUUGAUCACUUUCCCAUUUGAAGCCAUCUUGAAGACUCAAAAACAUUUUUUUGAAUGCAUGAACAUUUAUAAAAUUCAUGAUUUUUUUGAACCAAUGAAGUUUUUCUGAAAUUCACGAUCAUUUUUUCAUUUUUAAAUAUUUUUAAAUUUUUCAUGAAAAUUAUUUGUAUUCAUAAUUUUUAUUCAAUUUGAUGAGUUUUUUCAAUGUGCGUAUAUUUUUCAAAAUCAUGAGCAUUAUUUGAGUAUGCAGAAAGUUUUUAAUAAUCCCGAGCAUUUUUUAAAUCCACGAACAUUUUAUAUUUCUUGACCAUCUUUUUCGAAAUUAUCCUUUUUUUAUUUUCAGAACUUCCUUGAAAUCCCAAAUUAUUUAAAUUAGAAAAAGAAUAGAUAUUAAGAAAAGAAAAGUAAGAAACAAAAUCUACUAUAUCUACAUAGGAGCCCCCCACUACUAGGAAUUCUUUAACUUUUUCUUAAGCCACAUCACCUCAAUUAACUUUGGCCAUCGAUUCAAGACACACAUCAUAGAUAGCCAUCAGAUUAGAGGCGACCUCGGCGAGGCACGUUCCCGAGCCGCAUACUACUGUGUUGUCUCGCAUGCCCAUAUGACUCGUGAUCUUUCGACGGCUCAUAUGUUCUGGAACUAACGCAGGCAUCCAAAGAGACAUGACUGAUCGCCUCUCCAAAUCUUGGCAAGUGCCUAUCGCAUCCUCAUCCCCUUUCAAAUCUUGCUCGAUGCAGAAGGGAUAGGAGGAUGAUGGAGGAGGAUAUAGAAGGAGUGGCCGCGGGCAGGGGAUGGGAGGAUCGCAUCUCCCCAACAUGCUGCCGCAACAGCAUCUGAGCUUGCUGCCGCUGAAGUCGCCCAUCUGCGUAGCGCGGCGUCUGGAAAGAGCGGCCGCCUGUGUGCUCCCCGUCCGGCCUCUGAGUACCUCCGGCCGUCGGGCGCGCCCCCAUGGCUUAGACGGGGGACCAACUCGAGUCCAUCGACAUGUGGGGAGUUCUGAUGAAACGAGAUUUGCGCUGUUGCCGACUGCCGUCCAACUACAAUCUCCUAUCGAGUCCAAUCUCCCAUUUGCAGAGGUAAAGUUCAACCUUAUUCGUCAUCCCUUAACACACCAUGCUCCGACCCCGAGUUCCUAUAUCCCAAGCCUUCAAAAUCUUCUCAGCAUACAUGCGUGCUACAGCCAGCAAUCCCAAUCUUUAAGGCUAAUCAAGCCAAAAUAGAGGUGUCUGCACAUCAUUUUUUAGCAGAUCGAACUGCCGACGUACUUGAUGACGCCACCGAGGCACUAUAGCGGACCGGUGACACUGCCGUUUGAGUUCUCCGCACUUCAAUGUCAGGCAAGUCAUCCCAAACAUUAGCUCACAUGCUUUGUUCUUGGAUCUACUCCCUCCGUUUCAAAAUAGAUGACCCAACUUUGUACCAACUUUGAAAGGAGUACUAUGCAUUCUGUGAAGCGUCUGAGGUCUUUUUUAACUAAAUUUGUUUGACGUAUAUGAGCCAAAAUAUGAGGUUUCUCUUAGCAUAAACAGAGGCGAUGUAAUCUAUUUAGUCUUCUACCUUUUGUAAGCAUCAAGAUGCACAUGUUUUUAUGUUCUAAUGUCCUUUCUUAUUUAGGGAAUUUAUUCGUCCUCAACCCCUUUUUUCAGUUCCCAUGUUGACAUUUUCCACCCGAUGUUGCAUUGCAGUUUCAUGUUGAGAUGGAAGGCUAACUCUCUGUCCUCUGAUCUGAUAGAUGAGAAUACGUAAGUUGAGUCUUUAUGGUGCAUGGCAUUUGUAAUUCUUUUUAAUUUCAAUUGAAAAAAUAUUUACAGCUAUUUUAAUGUACAUUCAGUACAAUUUACAAUGGUGUGCACAUAGACAGAGUUCAUAUUACAGCUGAUGCCACAGACGUAAUAUUUAUGGCUAGCUAAUUUUUAUGGCCUCUUACUACCCACUGGAGGUAAACUCAUGUUCCACCAUUUUGUUAGCAAGAUUGCAUUAUUUUUACAUGGAUCGCACUAUUGUGCAUUGCUGAAGAGAACAAAUUACCUUGGCAGAAAUUCAACUAAAUCAAAUAUAUAGCAACAAAUUCCCGCAGCAACGCGCGAGGUAUUAUCUAGUUAAAAAACAGGAUGCCCGCACAUGGGCUCGCCCAAAAGGGCGUGCUAGGGGAGCGAUGGAUGCGCGUUGCGUCUCCUCCCAGCGCGCCAUGUGCGAUAUCUGAGGUCCUGGUUGCGAAGACUAUGCCUUGCUUAUUGGGAGACCGAACAAGACUCCCCCUACAACGCUCGUUCCAUGGGUCGGCCUAACAAUAGUUCCCUCUGAGGUUUUGAGAAGCUUCCAUGUAGAGAAGUCGUUGGCUUUGGAGCCAUCCAUGCGGUUUUCUUUCGUCUUUUUUGUUUCUUUAAUUUUUUCAUGUUUUUCUUUUUCUUUCUUCUUUCCAUUUUUACUAUUUUUACUAUUUUUUAUUUUUUUUCCUUUUUAAUUUUGGUUUUUUAAAUGCAUUUCGACCCUUUGAAAAUAUAUGGUGAUUUUUUUCAUACAGGUUCAACCAGGGACGGAUUAAGGGGGGGACGAGGGGGGGCGAGACCCCCCCAACGAUCGCGCAGUCCCUUGAAACUGAUCACAUGAUCGCUAGUUUUUUUACCCGUGUGCUUGCUUGCAGCCUGCUUCGCCCCCCCUAUUCCAAUCGGCCUUUGUAUAGUCCAUUCAACCAGUGCAGCCCAUUUAAAAUUUACAUGCUAAAGGCACAAGACUGAGCCGAGCAGGCCCUCUGGCCUGUUAGUUAGGCACGCACCAGCCCAUGAGGCCAUGACUACGCACGCUUCACGUAGCGACCCACGUAUCACCAAUCUCUUCGUCAGUUCGUUCGACUGUUCGUCUCCAAAAAAAGCAGCGAUCGCCGAUCGGAUCUCGCCGGCGCGCCGCCAGCGCCCGUCGCCGUCGAGAAGCAAGGAUAGGAAGGGGACGCCGCAACGCCCGGACAGGCGCCAAUCCACGGACACGUUGCCGGCAGCCCGGAGGCCGGAAUCAUGGACAGAACGACGGCGGACGACGGGAUAAGCGGCAGCAACACAAGGGGAAAAGGUAAUUUGAUUCUCACAUGGAUUAGUAGUUCAUGCCUUUAAAAAUUGUAGAAGUAUAAUCAUACAAACUAUAGGCCUUAAUCAUCAAUAUAAAAUUUUCAAUUAUUUUGUGCUUGUGUAGACAUGAAGAGGAAGAGAGAAUCAAUUCAUAAAUAUUUCAAACCCGUUGGUUCAAGCUCUCGGCCAUCAGAACAUGAUGCUACUGCAGACAAUGCUGAACCUAGUGAACAGAACCAGCCUAAUUGUACUGAUGGGGAUGCUCAAAUUGAUGAUGUUUCCGUUCCAGAAGCUACAGAAGAAGCUACAAUUAUAACCACAAGUUAUGACCGAGAGCCCGGGCGACGUCUUCAAAUUUGGCAACUUCCUCCUGACGAGCAUGAUGCUUCUAGGCGUUUUUAUAUAUCUAAAGGGGCCUAUCAACCAAUCUUAAAGCCAGAUGAGUAUGAAUUUACUGGGAUAGGGGCUGGCCGUAGGCGAUUCCAAAGUGAUUGGUUCACAAAUCAUUUCUGGUUGGAGUAUUCACCUCUAAAAAUCGUGCCUAUUGUUUGCCUUGUUUUCUCUUCUCAAAGAAGCCUAUUGGGAAGUAUGGUUCGGACACAUUCACAGUCAGCGGAUUUGAUAAGUGGAAGAAAGUUAACAAUGGAAAAGAAUGUGCUUUUCUCAAACAUAUGGGCACUACUCCUAGCUCGGCUCACAAUUUUGCAGUUGGGUGUUAUGAAAACUUGAGAAACAGAAUUAAUCAUGUUGAUGAGGUGAUGAAAAAGCAAACUAAGCAGCGGGUUCUUGAUGCAAGACUAAGGCUAAAGACUUCCAUUGAUGCCAUGAGGUAAGCAAGAAUUAUUUAAUUUCGAACAUUUACAAUUUCUUAAUACUGGACAUCUAAUUAUUAUUCUAUGUUGAUUGCAUCAAGUGGCUAAUGUUCCAAGCAUGUCCCUUUAGAGGAAAUGAUGAGUCCGAGGGUUCCAAGAACCAAGGUAAUUUCAAGGAAAUGAUUAAGCUUUUGGCUUCUUAUAACAAGGAUGUACGUGAAGUUGUACAGAAUGCUCCAAAAAAUGCAAAGUACACCUCAUCAACUAUUCAAAAGGAAAUUGCUAGCAUAUUUGCUGAAAAAGUGAAGACCUCAAUUAAAGAAGAACUUGGUAAUAGCAAAUUUUCUAUCUUGGUUGAUGAAUGUAGAGAUGAGUCUAAAAAAGAGCAGAUGGCAGUAGUUCUUCGAUUUGCAAACAUAGAAGGGGUGAUAAGAGAACAUUUUCUUGAUCUUGUUCAUGUUAGAGACACUAGUGCUUUGACUCUCAAGAACACAAUUAUUGCCGUCCUAGUUGAUAAUGGGUUGAAUGUGCAAGAUAUUAGAGGCCAGGGAUAUGACGGGGCAAGCAACAUGAGGGGGAGUGGAAUGGGCUGAAAGCUCUAAUUCUCAAUGAGUGCCCUUAUGCAUAUUAUAUCCAUUGUCUUGCACAUCAACUCCAAUUGGCUCUUGUUGCUGCUUCAAGGGAGGUACAUGAGGUCCAUAAUUUUUUUCAGCAUGCAAAUUUCAUUGUAAAUACCGUUAGUGCAUCUCCCAAACGCAAUGAUGAGCUAUUAGAAAAUCAGGCUGCUGAAAUUGCUAGAGAGAUUGAAUUGGGAGAGCUUGACACAGGAAGAGGGGCCAAUCAAAUAGGAUCUUUACAAAGGGCCGGAGACACGAGAUGGAGUUCCCACUACAAAUCUAUCAAAAGUUUGUUAAAGAUGUUUGCCGCAACUGUUACAGUGCUAAGAAGUGUAGCAGCUGAUCGUUCAGCUACAAGGAACUCAAGAGGUGAUGCUGGAGGUUCCCUGAAAAUCCUACUCACAUUUGAUUUUGUGUUCAUUCUACACUUAAUGGAAAGAAUCAUGAAAAUCACGGAUGUCUUGUGUCUCAAACUUCAACAUAAAUCUUUGGACAUUGCAAAUGCAUUAGAUUGUGUUUCUAACACAAAGGUGUUGCUUGGUGAACUAAGGGAAGAUGGAUGGGACAGCCUUUUUGAAGAUGUGAAAUCCUUUUGUGUGAAACAUGAGAUUGACAUCCCGAACAUGGAUCAAAAGUAUGUAUCUUUUCCUAUCUCUCUAUGAUUAUUUAAAUUACAAUGUAGAGAUUUAGUCACUUACAUACUUACUCAUCAAUGUGUAGAUCAUGCAACUAAUUCAUAUUUUUCAAUAUAUAUUAAUUUUAGGUAUGUUGAUGUGACAAAAUCUCGAAAUAAGCAUGACAACACCACAGUUAUCCAUCAUUACAAAGUAGAUGUGUUUAAUGUUGCAAUAGAUCAACAAGUGAUAGAGUUGAAUGAUCGAUUCAGUUCUCAAGUAACUGAGCUACUAGAUCUUUGUUCAUCAUUGGACCCGAGGCAUGAUGCCUUCAGCAAGUCAAAGAUAUGCAGACUAGUGGAGAAAUUCUAUCCUGCAGAUUUUUCUAGUCAAGAAAGAGAUCGGUUGGAGUGCGAGCUACCACAUUUCCAGCUUGAUACAUUCAACCAUCCAGAGAUCAAGAACUGCAAAUCACUUGCUGAUCUAACAAAAGGAAUAGUUAAGACUGGCAAGUCUUCUGACUAUCCAAUGGUUGAGAGGUUGUUACGACUGGUCAUAACUCUCCCGGUGUCAACCGCAACCGCAGAGCGAGCCUUUUCUGCAAUGAAACUAGUCAAGACGCGGCUUCGAAGCAAAAUGGGAGAUGAUUUUUUUGCCAUUGCACGCUAGUUUACAUUGAGAAGGAACUUGCAGCCAAGUUUAGCUCUGAAGAAAUAAUCGAUAUCUUCGAUACUGGUGCUCGUAAAGCAGAAUUCAAAUUGAUAGAAAUGUAAUUUAUUCUUAGUAUUGAACAAUAGACGUAUAUUUACUAUCUAGAUGUUCUAAACCCUAUUAUUUACUAUGGUAUCUUUUCAUAUAUCCUGUGAUUUUUUUCGGCAAAUAUAUCCUAUGAUUUUGAAGCUUUUUNNNNNNNNNNNNNNNNNNNNNNNNNNNNNNNNNNNNNNNNNNNNNNNNNNNNNNNNNNNNNNNNNNNNNNNNNNNNNNNNNNNNNNNNNNNNNNNNNNNNNNNNNNNNNNNNNNNNNNNNNNNNNNNNNNNNNNNNNNNNNNNNNNNNNNNNNNNNNNNNNNNNNNNNNNNNNNNNNNNNNNNNNNNNNNNNNNNNNNNNNNNNNCACAUUGAAUACAUUUCAAAUACACGAUGUACAUUUACUGAAUACAUGUUAUUUGUUUUGCAAUCAGCUAACAUUUUUAAACGCACAUUGAACAUUUUAAAAAAUGUCAUAAAUAGUGUUUAAAACAUGUGAAUAUUUAUUAAAUUUUUAUGAAUAUAUUUUUUAUUUUGAUAUUUUUUUAAAAUUCCACGAGCAUUAUUUUACAUUUCAUGAACUUUGUUUUUAGCUGCCACGAACAUAUUUAAAAUGUGUAAACAUUAUUUUAAAUGUAUAAACAUGUUCUUAGAAAUUACUCAAACAAAUGUUUUACAUUUUCAUGAUUUUUGUAUAUGUUUACAAAUAUAAAGAAAAGUAAAAAUAAGAAAAAGGGGUAAAAGAAAGAAAUGAAGUGAGUGAAGAAAUGAACAAAGAUGCUACUUGGUCGUCCCGCUAGAGCAUUCAACCGAGUAUUACUCAUAACGAAUAAUGAGCUAUAGCCCACAGGAGGUCUCCGAAAUUUUGCAAAAUAAAAAUAUGUUGAAAAAUUGAUGUCAAACUUUUUUAGCACAAUUCUCAAGGUUUUUAUUGAUUGUUAAUCAUCAGAAUACAAACUGCAUCAUGAGGUAGACCGAGUCAAGUGUGUCUACCCUGAUCUAAAAAAGAUGCAAACCUAGCUAGAUUGUGGGCUUCAUAGUUUGAGCCUCUAUUUCUAUGGACAAAAUUACAUAGAGUAAAGAAGAUUUCAGUCUUCAAAUUUCUUUGACGACGACUUCAUAUUUCCCUCCUUGUCCAACAGCAAUGUCGUUCACCACAUACCUAUAGUCUGAUGCCACAUGCAAUCUCUGAAGAUAGAGAUUCAUAGCCAAAGCAAGUCCUUGGCGAGAUGCCAACGCCUCAAGCCUAAUAUCUUUUAUGCCAAAUUUAAUUAUUAUUUUUUAGGCAUGAUGCCACAUUUGCUAUACAACUUUUUUUUGAGUGGAUACAUUUGAUGUCCAACUUUUUUCUUGAGGGGUACAUUUGAUGGGGAGCUCCUAUUCGGCGCUGGGAAGCUCCCUGGCGCCCAUGCGCCGACGCUGGUGGGCUGGCCAUGUACAUUUCACAUUUUAUUUUUCCUCUGGUUCACUCGAUUGCAUUUAAAAAAAUUCGCAAAAAUAUAUAAAAACUAACGUGAAUUGGAAAAACUUCACGCAUUUUGAAAAGAAGUACAUGAACAUGAAAAAAAGUUUGUGAUUUUUAAAAAACUUCAUCGAUUUUUAAUUUUAAAAAAUGACAUUGAUUUUGAAAAAGUUCAUCCAUUUGGAAAUAAAGUUAUCGAAUUUAGUUAAAGUUCACCGAUUUUUAAAAAAGGUUUAUCAAUUUUUAAAAAAAAUCUCCAAUUUUGUAAAAAGUACAUUUUUAAAAGAAAAAUCAUCAAAUAUUCACGAAUUUGUAAUAAAGUUCAUGAAUUUGAAUAAAAGCUCAUGGGUUUUGGAAAAAAAGGUUCAUCGAUUUUUAAGAAAAAUUUCAUCAACUUAGAAAGAAUCCGCGGAUUUAAUAAAGAAUAAAAAGGAAAAAGCAAUAAAAAAAGAAAAACCGAAUUAAAGCGCCCAGAAAAAAAGCCACGAACGAACUGCCAUUCUGUUUAGUUGGCGAGCCCACUUCUCCUUCCCCAGGAAAAACUCCGCGCUCUUCGGUCUCAGUCAGAAUUCAGAAAGAAACGGACAAAAAAAGAAAGCGAGACAAAAAGCUCCGCCGUUCGGACGAGACACGACGACCGGCGUUGCCGCGCUCUCGGCCGCACCGCAUGCCGGCUCCCGCCACGCUCGCCUCCUUCAACGCCCUCGUCGCCUCGCUCGCGCGCUCCGGCCGCCCCUCGCAGGCGCUCCUCGCCUUCCGUGACAUGCUCGCGCGGGGUUUCCCGCCCGACCACUUCACCCUGCCCCCGGUCCUCCGCUGCUGCGCGCUCACCGGCUCCGCCGCCCUGGCCGCCUCCUCGCACGCCCUCUCCGUCAAGCUUGGCGCCCACGGUAGCCUAUUCGUGGCGUCCGCGCUCGUGCAGUGCUACGCGGGCAUGUCCAACCUCCCCGACGCGCGGAGGCUGUUCGACGGAAUGCGCGAGAGGGAUGCCGUUCUGUGGACGUCUAUGCUGUCCGCGUACGCGCAGGGUGGGCAGCCAGAGGAGGCUCUGCGGUUGUUCCAGGGGAUGGUGGUGGCCGAGGUGCAGCUGGACGCGGUGGUCAUGGUCAGCCUUCUUCUCGCGUGUGGCCAGCUCGGGUGGCGGCGCCAUGGGAGAAGCGUGCACGCGUGCUGCGUCCGGAUGUUCCUGGGGAUGCCGCUGUCUCUGGGGAAUGCGCUUGUGGACAUGUACGUCAAGUGCGGUGAGCUUGAAUUUGCCGAACGCGUAUUUUCUGUGAUGCCCAGGCGGGAUGUUAUCUCGUGGAGUGCUCUGAUUGUUGGCCAUGGUUUGAAUGGCCGUCCGGAUGUUGCUUUGAGGCUCUUUGAUGAAAUGGUGGCCAAAGGAGUGGACCAGAACUCGGUCACCUUUCUUGGUGCCCUGUCAGCCUGUGCGCAUUCAGGCAUGGUGGACAAAGCGUAUGCUAUAUUCGAUCAGAUGAAACAGCGGGGCAUCAAGCGUGAGCUUAAGCAUUACUCUUGCAUGGCUGAUGCGUUAGGGAGGGCAGGCCGUGUUGUUGAGGCAGUAAAUCUCAUAGAGGAAAUGCCUUGCCAGCCUGACGAGGCUAUCCUUGGCAGUGUAUUGGCAGCUUGCCGAGUGCAUGGUGAAAUGGACGCUGCUGAACGGAUUUCAAAGAGAUUGAUGAGCAUGUCUCCUGCAAAGAGCGGCUACUACAUGAGCUUGGCAAACAUAUAUUCAGAUGCUGGAAGGUAUGAUGAUGCAGAGAGAAUAAGAGGCUUCAUGAAGGAAGUUAAAGUCGACAAGCUUCCUGGAUAUAGUUCAGUUGAACUCGAUGUUUCUGUCUCUGAAUCAAAAAAUGUAUAAUUAGCUCCAUAUAGUGCGCAAUGGGUUUUGAAGCACUUGAGCUGUUUGGCAAGCCUGGUGGCAUACACUCUGUGCAGUGUAUGCUUUGAAGAAAAAUACAGGCACCUGGUGGAUGGGAAGUGCAAAUGAGAUGACUUGGCAACUCAACAAGACAGUUUUGGGGAGGAUUAUAACAGUACAGAGAGAUGCUGAGUUAGUGGACUCAUAGUGGAAGUGUUUGAUUAUGACAUUAGCGACAUGGUACUUGCUGAGUUAGCGUUGUCAAAUUGUGAAGUGUCAAGAGGUGUGCGGAAGGCAUUUCUUCGAGCAGACAAGGACAAAAUUUAAGAGGCUGAUGAAACAGCACAUGAUGAUUAUAUACAGGAAGCACACAGUCCUCCUACAUGUACUUCAGUUAUGAGAGAACAUAUGGCUUGUGCUUGAUGAGUUGCUAAUGCAAUGAGGUUCAAAUAGCUUCUGAAACUGACAGGAUUAUCAUCAAAUAUGUGAGCGUCUGACCAGCACGGUGUAAUUAAGAUCGAUCUUGUAUUCACAGGAAAGUCUUUAAGAAAUGCAUUGCUGGUACUACUUGCAACUGUAAGCUUAUUCUCUGGUAGAACUUCUCUUUUCAAAAUAUGAUCUUACGAUGGAACUGGAUUAACAAAAGGAACGCAAUAAUGUUC
RNAcentral lists this long non-coding RNA (56856 nucleotides) under Triticum aestivum (bread wheat). RNAcentral's name for it is "long non-coding RNA (TAES_LNC007222)". The record is from RNAcentral. Lineage: Eukaryota; Viridiplantae; Streptophyta; Magnoliopsida; Poales; Poaceae.